Molecule: long non-coding RNA, 53346 nt
Filed under: Ananas comosus (pineapple)
Lineage: Eukaryota; Viridiplantae; Streptophyta; Magnoliopsida; Poales; Bromeliaceae
Description: long non-coding RNA (ACOM_LNC008241)
Rfam family: MIR159 microRNA precursor family (bases 45325-45520)
Source: RNAcentral
UCCAAAAUUGUGGCCCAACACGGCCCAGGACUUCGGGCCGGCCCGAUCCGGCACGGAUGUUAGAGUAUCCGUGCCGUGCUGUGGCCCGGCCCGAGGCCGUGCCGGGCCUGGCGGCCCACGUGCCGCUCGGCUGUUUUACAUCCCUACUUUUAGGAGAGAAAUUUUCCUGUACUUUAUUUGACAGUUCAUAAAUGCUUUAGAGACCUCUUUUUUUUCUUUUUUGCCUCGUACUGAGACAAUUCCUCCAAAAUUUUUAUUUUAUUUUUUUAACGUGAAUCUCUUUUGGAACGUCGGAACGUGCCAACCUUGUACUCCUUGGAAAAGAUUAAAGAAGCCCAAGCAAUUACUUACCACAGACAACAAACACCUACAGCUAAAAAGGUGCAAUUUUAAUUGCUUUAGGAAGCAAGGUAGACAAGCAAACACUGUACGAGGAUUCAACAAUAAACUAAGAUUAAUUAUUGAAGUUUACUUUCAAAAAUCUUACUUUAAAAAAGAUAGAUUAUUGCAGAAAAUAUCACUAUCUUGAAGAAGCCAUAUUUGUGCUACAUAUUUGUGCUAUUCAUAUGUGAGUUAUCUAUGAAGACACAAUCUUAAUAUUUUAACGAGGGAUGGUGGAACACCAAUUAUCACAUCUAAUAUAUAUAUAUAAAAAAAUCCAAAGCAAUCAAGCAAAGAUUUAAUAAACUUCUGGAAAAAACAAAACACUGCCUUGUUUGAAACAAAACCAAAUUAUGGGGACUUCAUCCCCAACUCCAGGUUCACUUUCUGCCCUGAAAACAAACUUCAUCCAGAUUAACUAUUCCUUCAAUAGAUUUGAAUUUUGCGAAAAUCUAACAGGAAAUACAAGUAGAACCAAAACCUUUUGGCUACAAAAAAAGCACGCGAAUAGAAUCUCAGUAGAGUGCCCGAAAAGAACUUCAAGAGGACAUCUCAGUGAAUAAGAAUAGCAUAGGAAUGAAACUGGAAAUUCUCAUUGCUUAAAGGAUGUCGAUUUUGUCUACAAAAGAACAGGAAGGCAAAUGAUAAAUGAAUAAAACUUGAAAAACAUUUGUAAACUAACAGUAGGUGAUAUUGCUUCAAAGGGCAUCAGCUCAUAAAAGAAAAAACUUUGCAAUUCAUCUAAGCGGGAAUUGUCUCGGGCAUCGUCUCAGCUGGGAAAUCUUGAUAUCCUGUUAUCCCUGUGAUCUUUAUCCUUGUGUUUGGCUGCAAAUGUUAUUUUGUUAUUUUAUUAGUUGUAAAAUAAUUUCACAGGAUACGCAACUAAAUGGGUACUAUUUAUGCUCGUUUGUAUCUGCUCUCUUUUGUAAGACUAAGAUAUUGACAAAUUAUUGUCAGGAACAAAAAAAUUUUAAAAACAAAUUAAGCAUAGAAGAUUGAUAAAUUUAGAAAAUUUAUGGAAGUACAUUCAGAAGGAACAGGAAAAUAUCUUGAAAAGAGAAUGACGAGGAACAAAGUCAAAUUAAGAGUAGGAAAGUGAAGAAAAGCAUAAUAGAAACAAGCUUUAAUCUUAUGAAGACAAGCAUUAAUAUUAUGAAAUGCACAACACCAAAAUUGAAAAGUUUAAAGUAUUGUUAAUAAUCAUAAAAAGUUGAUGCAUAUAGAAAUUUUACGUUUGUGCGUUCUCAUCAGGAAGAAGACAGUGAAAAGACCACAAAGAGAGUGCAAGCCAAAAAGAAAGAUAGCAUCCCUCAGAAUUGCAGCACAUUUUAUAAAGACUCAGACCGAGUUACUUAGCUUCACAUAUAGGUCUUAUUGAAUACCUGUCGAUGGCCAAUUGUCCUUCGAUAGUUCUUCUUCUUCUUGUAUUUGAAUAUUAUCACUUUAGGAUCAAGUCCCUGAGAAAGAAAAUUUCGAGAAUUAGAAACAAUGUCAAGCAGUUAAAACACAUGUAAGGUUUUCUCCAGCAGCUAGAAAGAAAAGUACCUGUUCUUCAACCACCGCAUGUACGGCAGCAUUGGUAACAACUGGUUGGCCAAUAUAAGCCUUUGUUCGAGUUCCAACGAGUAAUACUUUGUUCAAUAUAAUCUGCACAUUCAGUGUUAUUAUAGGGCCAAAACAGUGACUACUUUCAUUUCUAAGCACAAAAAUACAUCUACUGAUUGAGACAAGCUCCUCAAAGAUAUUUGAGUUUCAUUAAGAGGAGCCAAAAGUACAUAUCAGAUUUCAAAUUGUCCACCGAUACUGUAACAGAUUGUGACGCUCCAAUAGUUCCAUAUUGGAUAGAGAAUGGAGUAUGCAUGGGUAUAUAAACACAGGUUCAUCAGUAUGCGUAACUUGGGCUUGUUCUUUGCCCCAUCCCCAGUAGCCAUCAUCUCAACCCAAACAUAGUCCACACCUUAGGAUAUAAAACAGUUGCAGAGCUCCUAAAUUCUUGAGUUGGUGUUUAGUUUAGUUCUUCGCCUCAUCCACAAAGUACAUAGUAAUGUAGCAAUCGUCACAACACAUUAAAAUCAGCCAAAUUGGCUGUAGUAAGUGCACAAGUUGAGAAUUCUGAACGAGCUACAUUUCCAGACUUUAGACACCCUUUGAAAAGGCAAUACAGUGAAUACUCCCCCUUUUUCUGAUAAAGGUAAGAAGAAACAUCAAAAUUUACUAUCCCUCAAAUUAUCCCCAGUAAGCAGUAGUCCCCUUAAGUAUCACAAUCAUUAGUUAUCAUUACAGUUACCCCUGCAAUCAUUACAGUUCUCCUUAUGAUGAAAAGGUAAACAAAAAAAAAAAAGAUUGAUCUCUGUAUCACAGGAUGCGGCCAUAGCAGGGCAACUUGGAGGGUGAGGAAUUUUUUCCCAACCAAAUGUACCCACAGAUAUAGAUUCCUUACAGGUCGAAUGAAGAUAGAAAAUAAUAAAUCUAGCUGACAAUUAUUUACUUAAGUUUCGUAAUUACUUCUGAGUUCAUUUUAUCAUGUAAUAUUCUAUAUUGUUGUCAGAAAAUCCUUUUUACUACACUGUAUUCUUUUCAUUUUGCGCUGAGAAAUAUAUUUUGCGAUGACAUCUCAUAACCUUUCAUGUAGAAAUCACAUAGCCAAGCAGCCAUAUUAUACAGGCAAUCAAAUGUGUACUCUUCUAAUGAAUCUUCAAUGAAUAAAAGAUUGCAUCAACCCUUAACAGUAAUCCGGAACUAACAUAAAUGAAGAAAUUCAAACUGACAACGAAAAGAAGUACACGAAAACAAAACCAGGAAAGAUUGACAGAUUUCUUCUGACCUUAUCAUUAACAUUGGCGCCCUUCAACCUCUGGGUAUAAAUAUACCGCCCAGGAAACACGAUGUAUUGCCGCGACCCAAUCUGUAAUAAUGAAGGAUAAUUAUUAUUAUUACAAAUCAGCAAACUCUUAUUUGUCAAUAGCAAAAAAAAAAAAAAAGGAAAAUUGUCAACAUAUACCUGUAAAAUAGUGGAAUUGAGCAUUUAUCCCUCAAACUUUAUAGAUAUCAAAAAAUUUGAUUUAUUAAAAGUGAAUUUUGGUCAUUUUCAAUCUCUAACCUCCCUAUUCUAUAUCUAGUGUCAUUUUAUGUGACUCCAAAUCCUCAACCCUGAAAAAAUAUAUUAAUUGUCAAGGGCGUAACAUUCCAAACAGUGAAAAUUUAACAGUCAAACUGAAUGGCAGAAAAAUUUGCAAAGUUUUAGAAUUUAAAGGGAUACAAAUCCAAAUUAACAACUUUAUAGAUAAAUGCGCGAAAAAAAAAUGUUGCAAGGAAUAUGUAUGCGAAUGCUCCCAAUAUAUAUGAGGCAAUUAACUGAAAAAGAAAAAAAAAAAAUCAUGUAAACAAUCCAACUCUUAGCUCACCAUAACCACCGCAAACACGUCCUCGCCCUUCGCCGCCUCUCCGGCGGUGGAGGCCUCGAUCUGGGCUUCAACGGGCUCCGGCAUUUGAACCUCCGUAGGGGCCGGCGUAGACUCCUCGGAAGAAGCAAAGAGCUUCCAUUUUCGCGAGAGAAUAGAAGCGCGGGGAGAGGAGUCUGUGAGACACGAGAACAAUCGUGGUUUGGGGAGAGAGACGAAGGGGGGAGAGGCUAGGGUUAGGGUUUGGGCACGGCUGGGGACGGAGAUGCGGGACGGAGCGGAGGCGGCGGGGCCGAGAGCCGAAGCCAUGGGCGAAGGAUUUGAAGCUUGUGAGAAUGGCGCAGGAUAAAUGGAUAAGAGGACGGAGACGUCGGAGAGUGUAGAGAGAGUCGAGAAUUGGAUCUGGGUACAAAAACGGGUCGGGUCCGUAUCGGGCCGGAUUAGUGGGUCGGUCCAAAACCAGUAAAUAGGCCGGACCAGAUUUGGGCUGGACCUAGCCCAAUCAGUAGUAUAUACAAGCUAGAUUUUUUUUCUUUGGGGGGUGGUGGAAACCUUAGUAACUUAGUUGGGCCUAAUCUUAUGAAUCUCAAACCUGCUGUUUGAACCUUGGGCGUAAAUUGAGGAUAGUCCAACUACUAAUGCCUACUAUGGCCUAGUUUCGUAAAUGUAGUGGUUAAAGCUGUCCAAAAUACCCAGUAUACCGUACCUAUUUUGGACCCGAUAAAAAAGAUAGUAUAUAAGUAAAAAAAAAAAAAAAUCUAAAGUUUCGAGUAUGGGUCCAGAUACUUCAUACCCAUAUCCGACUUGGAUCAGACUAGAACCCGACCUUUUAAUGGGUAGGAUCUGAAAGAGUUUUCAAAUCUAAACCCGAAACCGAACUUGGACUUGGACUCAGUGAAUUACCCGAUAGUAAAUAAAAAAAAUUUGAAGUUGAGGAAGCAAUUUCAAUAUAACUUAUAAAUGAAAGGUCUCUGUAUAUUUUCAUUCUAAUGAAAAUCCUAGUCUCUUUGUUUGCUCUUUUUUUUAAUUUUAUUUUACUCCUUUUUUUUUCAAUUCUAGCUAUUUACUACUUGAAUCUCUUUUUUUGAACGAAUUUUAUUGCACUGGGUGCAACUAAUUAGAACGUGAAUUUUUUUAUAAUGAUAGGUUUAUGGUUUGUCUAUAAACCGUUUAAUAAAAUUUAUAAAAAAUAUAUGCAUACGAGUACUCGUAUCCGAUCUAGAUCCAACCUGUAUUCCACCCAUACCCAGUCUAAUUUCGUCACUGCACAAUCAAACUAUUUUUAAAAAGGUCUAGUUUAGUUCUCAUCCUGUUCUUGGUUAUGCACAAAAAGUCAUUUGGCAAUCUCCAACUUUAUACCUCAUGCUGUGACCAAAAGUAAAAAUGCGGUUUCAAAUCACGAAAACAAAAUCUUCUAAUUCCAUUGCAGAAACCAAAGAAAAAAGAUCCAAUCAGCCGGAUGAAAUUUAAUGUAAUAUUAUUUACAUUUGUUCAUUUUUUUUAAAUAAUCAAAUUAGAAAUAACUAAGUACUUAUUUGGCCUAACUACUUUGCUAAAAGAGCCUUUAUUAUGACAUAUGACAAGAAGUUAUAAUAAACUCCUAAGAUCAAAAAAUAAAAAGUGUUAGAGAGUAAAGGCUUCUGGUUAAAGUGGGGACCUGAUGAUUCACAUUCAUAGCAUUCUUUUGCCCAUUCUUUCUUUUUAGCAUAAAUUUGAGAAAUGUUAACCAAUUUUUUUUUUUUUUUACCAGGAGAUUAAAGUGAUCAAUAAUUAUUCUCCUCUCGUCAUCUUCUUCAUGAGACCUGAGACAUUUUCUUAUUUUCUGUUUGACCUUCAUCUCUUUACCAAUCUCGUUCAUAAUGACUAGUCGACAUUGAUUUGAUAUCUACAUAUCUUGCCUCUUCUGGCAACAAAGCUAUGCACUUUUCACAAGCUUCUACUUUUGGCAUUCUAUUGGGUUUUUUUUUUUUUUUUCUUUUUACAUUACAUUACAUUACAUUAUUAUACCAUGUCAUACUCCCCGUAAAAAAAUAUAUAUAUCUAAAAUAAGGCCGUGGCAUUACAUCAUUCAUGUUUCCAAUGAAUUAAAUUAUAUUUAUGAAGUUCAUCCAUCCUAUUAUAAUAUUUUUUUAAAAAAUAUUAUAUUUUUAUUUAAAAUAAAAAAAAUUAAUAGAUUAAGACAUAGAUAAUGUGAUACCUUUGCUACUGCUACAUAGAAGACCAACUUCAUCAUCAAGGUGCGUGCUUUUUUUUUUUUUCUUUUAAGAAAGGUAGCAUCAAUUUGUUUCAUUUGUGUUUUUUAAGAAAUGAACUAUGUUACAAAAUGUAAAAUAAUUGAGCUUUGAAUUUAAAAUAUUGGACACUAAUUAUUAGAUUUUUAGCCAACUGCAUUAGAUACAAUCGAUAGUGCAUGCGUUUGUUGGCAUUGAAUUUUUUGGGAUGAUAAAAUGUUCUUUGUUCUUUUGCAAGGGCUCACAUUUAGCCAAAAAAAUAAAAUAAUCUCGAGUUAAUUGGGAAUUUUUAAUUGCGUUAAAGAAAUUUGUUGAAAAAAAUAAUAAUAUAACUAUAUAUUUUCUAGCGUUAAUUUUAUACAACUUCUUGUAAAUAUGACGAAUUACAAAUAUAUCCCUACAAAGUUCAAAUUUCUAUAUUAUUUCUGCAAAAGACUUAAUAUUUUUAAAUAUACCCAUGCCGUUAGAAUUCGUUAUAAAAUUUUAAUUGCCCAUAAGUAAAUUACUUAGCUCUGGUUAGCCAAUAAGAUAUAUUGAUAUUUUUAUCCCUCUUAUAUAGUACUUUCUUCUCUCAAUUAAAAUUCUAGCAAUGAAAACCCUUAUUCUUCUUCUUCCUCCUCUAAAUUCUUUGUCCCUAUUCAUUCACGACGCGUGUUGCUUCGCCCAUGUCAAAUGCGUGUUAUUUUUCUAUUCAAUUUUUUCUAUGAUUUUUCUUAUUUUGUUCAAAAGAAAAAGAUUUAGAACAAAAGGAGUGGGAAAAGAGGUUGCAACAAUGGUGAAUUGAGUUAAGUUUUAAGAGAAAGAAAAUGAGGAAGAAAAUGAUCGUUGAAAAAUUUUUAGAAGAAUAUUUCUGCACAAAUAUAACAGUUGAGGCUUUUGAAGAGACAUAUUUUUUAUGGCAAAAUUGACAUUUCACUUAUCUGCUAUUAAAAAAUAAACAGUUCUCUAAUGGUAACAAACCAAAAGAAUAAUAUGAAUAUCACUGGACUUUUUAUAGGGAUAAAAGUUAAAAGUUGAACUUUAUACAGAUAUAUUUAUUUAUUUAUUUAUUUAUUUUUGAGAGAGAUAGGUAGCACGCUACCCGCUUCGUUUAUUUCAUUCAGAAAUAAACUUAGCUGGUAAUGUGAAUCAACUAGGAAAUGUGAAUCAGAUAUAUUUGUUAUUCGAUAUAUUUGCAGGUAGCUAUAUGCAAUUAACUUUAUUUUUUAAUAGUACUUUUUAUAUAUUACUUUAUUGAGAAGGACUAUUAUAUUCUAGGAUUAAUUUUAUACAUGUUUCUUCAAAUACAGUGAAUGAUAAAUAUAUCCCUACAAAAUUCAACUUUCAUAUAUUGUUCCUACAAAAAUUCUGAUGUUUUCAAAUAUGUCACUCUGGUUUGUUACCGUUAGAAAACCGUUAGAGAACUGUUUAUUUUUUAAAUUUUGUCAUCACAAAUAUGUCCCUCCAAAAGCCAAAAUAAUAUAAUAUAAGAUGAGUAAAAUAUCAAAAAUUAAUCAAAAUUAAGUAUUUAAUUUAUGAUUAAUUAAAUUUUUCUAACGGAUUCUAACAGCAUGGAUAUAUUUAAAAACAUCAGAACUUUUGUAGGGACAAUAUAUAAAAGUUGAACUUUAUAGAAAUAUAUUUAUCAUUCACUAUAUUUGUAGGUACCUAUAUGAAAUUAACCCUAUAUUCCUCCAUCAUUCUUCAGAUUAAUUUCCCAAUUUUGUUGGAAUUAAUUUUUUUUUUUUCAAAAUUUGUAAGUCGACAAGUAAAUAAUUGGAUGGGUCAUUUAAUCUCAACCAACAAAACGGUAAGAGUGUCCUUGAGAGAAAUUAAUAGUUAAAGUCUUUAAUUGCAAACCAACCAAGAUGACUAGUUUGUUGAACAACUAGGUUUAUGAUCUUAAUACACCUGCAACUACCUCCUCUUGUUUUAAUCAUAGCUCUAAUCUCGCUUUUUUAAGUUAAUUAUCUAUAUAUAUGUCUUGUAACACCUAAAUCUCUUAUUGAUAGUGGGUGUAUUAAAAAUAAUUAAAAACACUAACUGUAGAAAGUUAAAUUUAAACACUUAAUUAUUAUGAAAAUUGAAAAAAUUUUCUGAAAACUCUCGAUCGUGAAUUUUUUGACAGUUACGAAGCAUCAAUUUUUUUGAAACAGAGCGAAGUUGAAAGAAGGUUAUGAAGAUGCCAUAAAAUUGUACUGGCUAAAACUUCAAUUAAAAAUUAUUUAAAUUAAAAGGAGAAAGUUGAUGGGCAUAUCCUAUACGUGAGGGGUCUCCGUGAAAUUGUACCUGUCCUUAAUAAAUGAGCCCCGUAUCGAUCACCUCCUAUAUAAUAGUAGGUCUCGCCCACGCCUCAACACGGCUUUAUGCUCCCCACCUCUCUCUCUCUCUCUCUCUCUCUCUUCUCCAUUACCUCUCUCUCUCUCUCUCUCUCUCUCUCCCCUCUUCCCAAAAGAGCCCAAGGAGAGGUACUUCUGUGGACUAUACUUCAUCUCCGCACUAGGCCUACUGUUUCAUCUCUUUUUGAUUCUUUCCCCUCUCUUAACCAUUGUUGGAUCUCUGAGAAAAGGGUCAUACGGUUUUUUUUUUUUUUUUUCCCAUUCUACUGCUCCAAAUUUGGAGAUAUGUAAACACGAAGGUACCCAUUUUUGUAUUUGUUCCCCCCUUUUUCCCAUUCUCUGGUGAGAUUUGUGUAAAUGGCCUCCUUUUCUUUACUUAAUCACUGUUUUUCAGUUAAUAGACGAGUACCCAACUCUUUAUGUCAAGCAAAAGAGAGAUUUUUAAUCCAAAAAAAAGAGGAACAAGGAUCAAAGAUUGGAUUUCGGUGCCUCGUCUUUCGUAUCUGCCUGUAGUGAUGCCCUGUUUGUUAUGUAUUUGCAUAAUUUUGUAAUUUUAAUUGUUUUCUAUAUUUUGCUUCCUUGGCGAUGCUCGGCGUGCUACUUCUUUUUGUGUGUGUUUUUUUAAAAAAUAUUCUAAUUUCUAAAGUUAUUAAUGGGCCAUGCAACUAUAAUUAGAGAUGUGUCGGCAUUUGAGCAAUUAUGUGGUGAUUUGAUGAGUUUUUUGUUUCUAAGCUCGAGUUCUGUUUUCUGGGACAUCCCGGAAUGUAUUGAAGAUGUUUGAUCUUAUGCUUGUGAGAGCAUCUUUUGUGCUCGUUUUUGAUGUUCAAUUUAAAAGUAAGAGUUUCUUGAUAGUGGAUGUGAUCAUGAAGAUACCGUUAAUGUUUACUGGCAAUUGUUCUCAUUAGCUACUUUGCUUUGGCGUUUGGAUUUCUUUUCUUCUAGUGUAAAUGUCCUAUUAACAGGUGUCCGCCUCUUUUUCAUUUCUUUUUCCCACUGUUUGAUAAAUGGGUUUUGGUUGUAGUGAUUUUCAGAUAAGGUUUCUUCACAUCUGGUCCUCUUUGGAGUACUUAAUUGCAGUUUCUGUGUUUUGCAAUAUUAUAUAAGUGGGAUAACCUUGUAGGUAUAAGAAUUCUAUUUUUCUUUUUUUAUGUGCUUUGGAGAGCAUUUUUGUUGAUUGAUGAUAAAAAAAGUUGUUGAAAGUUUCAUUAUGCUCAAUUGCUGAUUCUGGUAAUUACCAUUAAGAUAUCAUACUUCUAGUUGCAUAUGCAAUUUUGUUUUUUUAGCUGCAUACUUCUGUUCUUCUGUUUCCUAUUUUUGUUUGCAUUCUGUUUAUAUUCCUGCCAUUAUUUCAGGUCCGUAAUGGAGAGUGAGGAAUGGGAAUCCUAUCCUUCAGCCUUCAUUGAAGGCAAGGAUCUAAAGAAAGACCUUAAUUCCGAGUAUCAUACCGACCAGGAUAAAGGCGCAUUAGUUUCCUUGGAUACCAUUCUCCCUGAUGACCUCUUGGAGAAAAUACUCUCUUUCUUGUCCAUUGUUGGUAUAAUUAGAUCAGGCUCCGUGUGCAAGAGAUGGAAUGAUGCCGUGCAAAGGUAUAAACAUACGAAAAUGGUACCCCAAAAGCCAUGGUAUUUCAUGUUCACGUGCGGCGAGGAAGCUGUGGCAGGGUACUCUUACGACCCAAGUCUGAAAAAGUGGUACAAUUUCAAUUUCCCUUGCAUUGAGAAGAGCAAUUGGUCUAUCUCAUUUUCCUAUGGAUUAGUAUGCUUAAUGGAUAGUGAAAAUAAAAGUCGUGUCUUUGUGUGCAACCCUAUCACUAAGCAUAGGCGGAAGCUUCCCUAUGCUCCGGGUGGAAACUCCCCCGACUAUAGCGCGCUUGCUAUAUCGGUCGAUAAAGAGUGUCAUAAUUACACCAUAGUGGUCGCAAAGUGUGGGCAAGUGCCGGAGGAGCAUCAUCUGUGGAAUAUAUCAAUCCAUAUUUAUUUUUCGGAAAGUGACGAGUGGUUCGAUCCCUUCAAUGAAACUUUAGUAGGUUGGAGAGGUUGUGAUGAUUGUGUCAUUUGUGAUGGAGUUUUGUAUUAUUUGCUUUACUCUUCUGGUUAUGUUGGGCAUAUCGCAUCGCGCCAUUGUUUGGCUAUGUAUGACCUCUCAACCAGGCCGGGUCAUUUUUCUUUAAUGAAUACAGCUAUACCUGCGCCAUGUACACUCACAUGUGGCAGGCUUAUGAACCUAAGGGAUAGAGUUAUUCUGGUUGGAGGAAUAGGGAAGCAGGAUAGGCCGGGAGUUAUCAAGGGGAUUGGGAUUUGGGAGCUUCGAGAUAAGAAGGAAUGGUGCGAGGUUGCGCGCAUGCCUCAGAAGUUUUUCCAAGGAUUUGGAGAGCUUGAUGAAGUAUUCGCAAGCAGUGGUUGCGAUGAUUUGAUUUAUAUACAGAGCUAUGGGUCGCCGGCUUUGCUUACUUUCGACGUGAGCCAGAAGCUAUGGAAGUGGACGGUGAGGAGUCCCGUUUCAAAGAGGUUCCCGCUACAGCUCUUCACUGGAUUUUGUUUCGAGCCACGGCUAGAAAUUGCUUCGUAGUUGUAUCUGUUUCUGUUGCUUUGAAACUUGGUUUUUACAAGAUAUGACAUUUUGCAAACUUUUGGAGCUGUUGAAGAAGUCUACGAAACUUAAUGGAUACCAAAACGAAGAUGUUUUAACUAUAGAGAAUCAUUUUCAUUUCUUUCAGUUCUAAAUUGGCUUUUUUUGUUUUUGUUUUCUUUAUAUUGCUGGGUCUAUAAUAUGAGUUGUUUCUUGAUAGUUAUUUGAGCUGUAGAAAGCAAAAGAUGAUACCUAACAUUCCUGAGAAGGCAAUGCCCUUAUACUCUCUGUUUCAUGAUGACAAUGAUUUGUUUCUCUUACCACAUGAAGUAAGACUUCACUUGUAUACCAUUAAAGCAAUUCUUUUUCCUUCUGCACUUGUUGAUUGCUGCUGGCUCUUUUAAAUAGUCAACCACCUGACUGAAAAAUUGGAAGGGGAAUUCCCUCACAGAUAAGUUGUUUGUCAGUCGUAUCUUCGUGCUUUCUCAUACAUAUCUUUAUUGUUAGAUUUGUAGCUGUUGCCUGCACCAUGGAUCAUGCGUUCAAUCUAGCAAUUCAAUUUCUAAGCAGCCAAAGGAAAAAUUAAAAAUUGGCGAGGGGAACUAAUUAGUCCAACAAAUGCAUCAGGUGCAGGCAGUAAACUUUUCUUCGAGGUCAAAUCAAACUUGACUAAAAUAUAGGGAGCUAAUUGUUCAAUUCACCCUAAUUUCAUAAAAUGUUAAUGUGCUAAUGGUGUUAUUGUGUAUGUAAAUCUGAAUGUCUUGAUGCAUGUCCUGUGUGCCGUGCUCAUUUAAAAUGCUUUCGUUGUUUCUUUGCUUUUGUCCAUCUGUUAAAGUAGGCAGUUCACCAGAGCUUAGAGUUUCUCCCUAGAAGUCGAAUUAAUGGUCCUCACUGUCAUCAGCUGCAGAACUUUAUGACUUAAUGGCGCGAAUAGUGCCAAAAAUCUGGACAAGUUUCAAUGACUGCUACUAGGGACUUAGAGGUGACCCCAACUCAGUAAGCUUCUUAUGCGCUGUCAAUUAUGUACGACGAGUGUUUAUAUUUAUGCACGACGAGUAUUGAUCAUCUCAGUAUAAUGCUCAAUUCAUUGCUAACGUAUCAACAACACUUUCAGAUUCGUAUAAAAAACUGUACAUAGUAUCCAGCAUAUUAUUCUUAUUGAAUUGUCGCUCUCUAGUCUCUACAGCUCUCCCCACAUCCACUGCAGAGAAGAUGUCAGCCCAGGCUAUACUGUCUCUCUAGUUGGACCACCAAAGGUGUCUGCUUCCAAUGCAGUGCCAACAGAUUAGAGAGAGAGAUCCCUAGGGCAAUUAACUGGGGCUGCUCACUAUCUACUAACUAUAUUUUACUAGGUUCAGUGAAUUUAAUCCAUGCAUUGCAUCUAUCUCAUCUCCUAAUUCAAUCUCUAACACGCACUGAUUUACAGACCGUUCAUUCAUCUCACGACAUAAUCUGCAUCGAAAAGUAACUAAUAGUUGCUGUGCAGAUAAUCAUUAUUGGCCAAAGUUGUUUUAAAGUGAUGGUCAUUUCAUUUGUAAUUUUUCUAAGUACCAUGAGCUAAUCAUGUGGGAUUAUUUGCAAUAUAUAUUCCACUUUGUCUAGGGUGAGGUGAGUUUUGUCUUAUAUUGUCCCUCUCACUUUCACACAGCUAAGCUUUGGUAGUGUUGUUGGCUCCACAUACUAUACUAUUACUCUAUUCUGAGACAUCUCUGUACGGGCUCUUUUGAUUUUGACCACACCUUGCUAAUUAACAAGCCACAGUUGGAUCUAACUCUGACCAAAUUUUUUGCAUUGAAUACAUACAAUUGAAGUUGAUGGCUUAUAAUAUUUUGAUAUUGAUUAAAAAUUUGAGACUAAAUGCAUAGUUUAUGUACCUAAAGUUGGGUACCCAAUAAUUUGGGUUCUGUGUCGUUUUCAGAAUUGGGUAGUAGUUGCUGACACCUUUUUUCAGAUUCAGCAGUCCUAUGUUUUUGUUUUUACUGAGUGCAGAUCGUAUGUAUUAAAUUAAUUUAAAUGCAUUCAAUAGUAACCAACCCAUUAGUUUUCCUAAUGCAAUGUGCUCCAGAACAAUUCAUUACCAUGUUUAGAAUUAUAUUUACCAUCUUGAAAAACAGAGAUAUAUAUUUUACAGCGGUUAAUUUCAACAAUAAAAAUGAUUAUAAUUACAAAUCCGUAAAUUACAAUGCAUACUCUCAAAAGUUAAAAGACAUAGAAAAGUGACUGUAACAUCCCAAUACUGCAACUUAAUGUUUGAAUUUUUUUUACUUAAAUACUUUAAUUCCUCUACUUUCUUAUGCAAUGCAGAAUACAAGAAAACUUAGCACAUGAUUUUUUUUUAGCUAUAAUUUUUUUUGAAUAGAUUUCGACAAUUAAACUUAAAUAGAAGUUACUAUUAAAUUUAACUAAUUCCAAAUACGUCGAUUUAUAGAAUUGAUUUAAAUCUACAAAUUUAAAAAUUAAAAGAGUAUUAAUUAAAAGAAAAUUAAUUAAGUUUUCUAUCUCAAAAUAAGUAAUAGUAAAGGGAUCCCUCCGCAAUUUUAACCGGGCAAAAUUACCUCAUUAUCCACUUCUUAUCUAAAAUUGUAAUAUUCUAGAGGCGUUUUGUUAUAAAACGCGUUUAGUUUCUCAUAAUAACUCUUUCCCCCAAUCACCAUCGCAAAACGAGAGCUCCAACGGCUAUUUUUGGCACCCCGAAACCCUAAUUUUCCGCAGUGUUUCCACCCUGUCUCCGCCCUUUCACCAUCUCUCUCUCACUCGCUCCUCGAUCCGAGGUGCCUUAAAUGGCCCUCCCCCUGCGAUGGAGGUGGUGGCUCUCGCCGCUCCCGGAAGCGACGUCCUCGAAAGGUACGCUCCCCCUUUCAAAGCCCUCGAUUUGAUCCUUUUUACCCUGUUCGCAUUCGAAUUGAAUCGAUUACCUAUUAGGGCGUGUGGUCCUCUACUCCUAUUGGUGGAGAUUUCGCUUUUCGCUUAGAUCUUGGGCGAAACCCUAGUCCGAUAAAGAUCUGCCUUGGUCUGAUGUAGCCGUAGAUUCUGUCGUUUUUUGAUGGGAAAGAUGUGAUGGAUUGAAGGGUUACAGCUGUAGCUGUUCGCAGCUGCUGGAGGAGAACUUGGUAGGGAUGAGGGAUCCUCCAAAACCCUAGUAGGUGAAAACAAAGAAGGAAAAUGUUUAGGGUCAAAUACAUGGAUAGUCCCUGUAUUAUCCUAAUAAUGCAAUUUGGUCCCCGAACUUUUAACCAAACACUUUAGAUUUCGUCCUUUAGUCUUUGACCAUCAUCAAAAAUCUAAUUUUUCUUGCAGAAUGGCAAUUUUACUCCUUCACCUGUAAAAUAACUUUCUUCCUGUAUUAAACCAGGUUGAAAGUUUGUAUUUUUUUUCAUGAUCAGGAACUAGAUUACAAUAAAGUAUAAAUUAAAAGUACGGGGACCAUAUUGCAAUAUUAGGGUUGUUUUAGGGCUAAAAAAGUGCCUAUACAUUUUACCCAAAGUUUAAAAGUAAAGAUCAGUUGGGUGUUUUAUAGUUACUGUCUUGGUGCUGGAUUGUAUCAUUUAUUCUUUCUGUUUCUGGUAGUUAUUUAUGGCCCUUCUCAGUACCUGUUGGCUUCUCCCUUCCUUCCCUUUUUUUAGGGCUACUGGACCUAAAUUUACACUUUUCUGCAAGAGGUUUCCAGUUAUUGCUUGUCGAGUCAUAAAUGCAUUCUCUCGAGUCAAAAUCUGUAGGAUAUUAUUUAAAUUCUCUGGGGGAAAAAAUAUUUGUUGUGACAUAAUAAAUGUCCCUGGUACACUUUUAAGGUAACAGCUAUGCAUAUUGUUAUAGAACUAAUUGCACUAUGGUGAUGGUUUUAGGUAGUUGAAAGGUAUGCUCUGAGAGUGAUGGUAGGGCCUACUACCAAUUUUAGUAUGAUUUUGCCAAAGUAUGCUGUAUUGCCAGUUGCUUCCUUCUUACAUUUAUUGUUAUGCAUUAAGUGUUUUCUUUUUCCAAUUUUGGGGAUAGAGAUUGAUCUUAUUGUAGAUGUGUAUUCUGGGAUUUAUAAAAUAACUGAUUUGAUCUAAUUGAAUGGAGUAUAGAGAUCUCAUGCUGGAUCUAGUUUAUUGGACUGAUAUCCAUAUGUAAGAGAAAUGAAAUUAUAUAGCCCUAAUAAAUCUCUAUGCAUUAUCUUAUGGUUCGGCUUGAAAUAUAUUAUUCUUCACAUGAAUUGUAUUUAAAUCCUAGGAAUAGAUUUGGCCUUAUUUGCUUUUGGCCUAAUAAUUUUAGGUCCUUUCUGCGAAGAUCUGUUAAGAGAUUUAUCAUUCUAAGGACGAUUUUAAGGCUCGAGGAAUUCAGAUUUUCGUAGGAGCUAUUUUUUUUAAAAAAAAAAUGGUUAGUAAGUAUUCUCAUAUAUGUAAGAACAGUCAUGUGUUCAGGUGUUCAGUGAAUGGGCGAUUCCCUGAACGCCAAGAGUUGAAAGUGAAUCGUAAAAUAAUUUGGAUGGCCAACUGUUUUCAAGUACUGUUUAGAAUAUCUACAAAAAAGUGUUCUUGAAGGUUAUACCUCAUUUGUCCAUGUUGUGAACAAUUAUCACAUCAUAAAGUAAUCCAAACGUUAAUGCUAUUGCUAUGAUAUCGUUGGUCCAUUUGAUUUUAAUAUUUUAAUUAAGCUCGUCUGCCUUUCUUGGUUAGUGCAUUAUGUUCUGAUUCUGUGUAUAUAUGCAGGUUUAUUUGGAGAGACACAUGGCCGUUUCAGAGAAGGAUUUGUCCCUUCUAGAUUUUGGUUCCACUUCGAGUUACUGCAUACAAUUCCCUGCACAUAUUUCCACAGAUUCUCGAGUCACAUUUACUGAUGUUGAGUGGAGUGAUUAUUGCCCUGAAGUUUUCAGGUUUCUUUAAAAUCUCAUUUAUUCCCUUUCUAUUUAAAGAGAGGUGGUCAAGGAACGUUAUCUGUUAUUUCCGGUUCUUACUGUACUAAGCAAGGAAUAUGAUUAGUUUUGCUUUUCCUUUGGCUUUGUUGUGACUGUAAGAAGUUUGGGUGAAUCAAAUAGGAAGUUCCUAUGGUGGAUCAAACUUCAGUUUGGCUGCUAAACUAAUUUUGGCCCCUAAACUUCAAUUUCUCUUGGUCAAUGGCUAAACUAAAUCAAUUUUAUUCAAGGCUCGUCUUCAAAGUUUAGUCUAUGAGAGUUGACGGAACUUUGAACUUUACAGACCAAAUUUUGUGUUCACCCAAGGUUUGGGGAACUUCUACAUAAAUUUUACUCUGAGAAGUCCGCAUCUAUCAUGUUGGCUUUACUAAUCUAUUUCCAUUUAGAAGCUUCUUUGUUAUUUAAGGCUUGUUGCUAACUUGAUGAAAUCUAUUGCUUUGGUUGAAAAUUAACUUUUAUUUUCCUACUUGAAUUUGUAGGGACCUUCGGGAACUUCAAGAGAUAAAUGAAGAUGAUUACGUGGUUUCAAUUCGUAGUCAUGAAACCUUAAGACAACUUAUUGCAUCUAAAAAGAACGGCACUCAUCUUCAGUUGUCCCAUGAUAAGAAGUUCGUCGUAAAGAUCAUUGCCAAGAAUGAUAUGAAGGUGCUUCAAGACUUGUCACAUUUUCAUUCAAGAUUUCGUUUUAUUGCAGUUCUUUGACUCUCUAUCAUUAGGCUAUCAUGGUUGUCAAACCCAGAUGGCUACUAAGUGCUCUCUAGAUACUAUUAAUAAAGAAUUUAGACAGAACAUUUAGCACAAUCACUGAGUUUACUAUUCCUGCUUAUGUAGGUACUAUUGCAUAUUCUACCGAAGUACUAUCGUCAUUUGCAGACAUACAGGAAUACUUUACUUCCUAACUUUUUGGGACUUCAUAUGGUGAAGCCACUAGGUGGCCAAAAGGUUGGUCUCUAUACAAUGCAUAAUACUGUUGCCAUCUUUUAUUUAAAACACUUUGUGAUGAGUUAUCCAGUUAUUUUUCCUCAAAAGUUUAGCAGUUUAUCAUUAUCUUCUUGAUGUAUCCUGAUUUUUAGAUGCCCUUUUUAGUAUUCUGUGUCAUCUUGUAGUCACUUUUUGAUGUUUUUUCUUAGAAAAACAGUUUUAAAAUAUAGAACAAAUUACAACAGAAACUUAUUUAAAUUUAGGGGAAACUUUAAAUAGCCCCCCGUGGUUUCGUACUUUCUCACUUUAGUACCCUGUGGUUUAAAGUGUAUCAAGUUAGUACCCUGUGGUUUCGCACUUUCUCACUUUAGUACCCUGUGGUUUAAAGUGUAUCAAGUUAGUACCCUGUGGUUUCGCACUUUCUCACUUUAGUACCCUGUGGUUUCAAGUGUAUCAAGUUAGUACCCUGUGGUUUUCGCACUUUCUCACUUUAGUACCCUGUAAUUUAAUAUUUCGUUAAAUUAUAUACUCCGAAAUGGAUAAUAAAAAGAGAAAAUUGAAACCACAGGGUACUAACUUGAUACAAAAAUAAAACCACAGGGUACUAACUUGAUACACUUGAAACCACAUGGUACUAAAGUGAGAAAUUGCGAAACCACAGGGUACUAACUUGAUACACUUUAAACCACAGGGUACUAAAGUGAGAAAGUGCGAAACCACAGGGUACUAACUUGAUACACUUUAAACCACAGGGUACUAAAGUGAGAAAGUGCGAAACCACGGGGGGGUAUUUGAAGUUUCCCCUUAAAUUUAAUAUAAACCCCUUUCGUAUGAACUCCAUUUUAACAAAUAUGAACUUUUUCAUAUUUGUUAGAUCUAUGCAUUUGAUAAAAGUCAAUUCUGAGUUUCACAAUUUCAGCGGAAGUUUAAUGGUUCUGUAAAUUACUUGCCUGUUCCUUAAUCUUCUUUAAAUAUCUAAUUUUUUCCAAGUAGAAAAUCAUUCAAAAGAUAAUCUGUUUGAUAAUUUUUAUACUUACGCAUAUGAAUUGCUUCUAGAAAUAUAUUUUUAAUGCAUGGGCUAUAUUGGAGAGGCUAACUUUAGUAAUUCAGUAAUAGAAAAUAAUUAAAUUCAUGAUUAAUAGGUUUUUUAGAUGUACUUUAUGAUGUACAACACAAAGGUUUUGUACCUUUUCAUCAAUAAUUCUCGGUGGGUUUUUUUUACACUCUGCAGAUUCGAUUUGUUAUCAUGGAACACAAACUUCAAUCAGAUCUAGGCAUUCAUAAGCAAUUCAAUUGCAAAACGUUGCAUCACGGUCGCCAUAUAUCCAGAGCUGGGUGGGAGGAAGAUCUGAGCAUAGGCUUUCAUCUGCACACAUUAGCAAGGAGUCAGCUUCUAGGGUAGCUAUCUGACUGCUUGAGUUAUAAAGUUCUUUAAUUUUCUUCUUCGUCUGCUGGUUGAUUGUUACUCUUUUAGGAAAACAUAUAAGAUGGAAGUUAUUUGAGAUCUUCUGUUUUUAGAAAUCUCUAUCUUCACUAUUUGAGUUUAGUCUUUUCAGGUAAUUGUUAAAUGCUAAUGAUAAGGAAGCAACGAGGGAAGUGUGAUUAUUUAUUUAGCUAAUGAAAGAGGACCUCAACAUUAUACUCAACUAUAGUUCUUGUCAGUUGUUGUUGCUUUGGUUAACUCAGUUUCUUCAUCAUGUAUAAUAAGUUUUACAAAAUGUACAUACUCCUUAUGAUCUCGUCUGAUAUUUAUCACUGGGUCUCUAGGUAUAAGAAAUUAAGAAUACGUAAUGCGCAGGGAAUCUUUAAUCAGAACUUUAAAAAAGUAUAACUAUGAAGUUUCAUAUUCUGAGUAAUUUAUUGUAUUCCAACAUCUACUUCUGUUCUACGGACAAAUAUUUGAGAACCCCCUUUAACCACUGUUUAGCCAGUUAAAACUGGUUCAUCAUGAGAUACCUGAUCGUAUGCCAUGACUUCCUAAAAAGCUUGGCUAGACAUUAUCCAAAUCCUAAUUGGUGGAUUUUAUGAGUAUAUUUCUGACUAACUGUAGGUAUUUUUUUCCUUAAAUACUCACAAUCCAAUUUUAAGUGCUUAUUUCAAGUAGUGUGUACUCAAAUUUUCAGCAUACCUUAGGAAGAUUACUCAAAAGGGUUUUUUUGCAACCUAACCAUUUAAGGACUCUGCACCAAUUCUUAUUAAUAAAUAUGCUUCGUGAUUAAUCGAAUUAAGUAUGAUUGAUCAGGAAUUUUUCUUGCCACAGGCAAAUCAAGGCUGACUGUGAGUUUCUGGAAGAGGAAGGUAUUAUAGAUUAUGGUCUCUUAAUCGGAAUGCAUGUGUGCCCCACACCCUUCGAUGCUGUUGUCAAAGGUCUGUUUGGUGCAAGUAAAAGAACACCUGAAUUGCCAUAUUUGGAUCAAAAAUUUUCUGAAUAGUGAAUAAAAUGACUAAAGCACAUAUCAUACCUGCAUUUGUGUUGUUAAACAAGCUUCCUCAGUCUCAUGCUGAUAGUUAAAUAGUCAUGACUGGGAUUAACCGUCUGCUGAUUGAGUGUCCUCGAGACAUUUUUUGAACAUCCAUUUGCACAUAGUUUAAAGUGAAUAUGUAUGUUCAGAAAUAUUAUUAUUAAUUGUAUAGGAGAGAUCUAAUGAUUAUAUGUGGUGAGCCAAAAGAGAUGUACUCGAUGAUUUUGCUUAGGCUAUACACAAUAUAUUAAGUUUUAUGUGAAAAGUGUGAUUUCCAGAUUGAAUUUAGCUUAGAACAUUGAAUUAGGGUUGUGAAAAGAUGAAUCGACAAAGUAGAACAUUAUUUGAUUGAUCAGGCUGGAUUUCUUUGUUGAAGAACUUUGAAUAGGAAGAUAAUGUUUUAGAUCUUUUUUUUCACCUAAUUAUCUGUAAGCCGAUCACCAAAUUCAUGUUGCAGGAUCAAAUGAUGUCAAGAAGAAGCCCUCAGAUGGUGAGAGUUCCAACGAAAGUAAUUCAGAUCAAGAUUUAACGUGUGAUGGUGAUUCGCAGCCAUCCUCUCAGAUAGAGUAUGCCUUCAGCAUUGAACUUCUUUACUUUUUCUGUCAUUGUUUUGCUGUGAAUUCAUCAGUCUUAAUUAAAACAAAAAAAUUUAUCAAUGUACUGUAAAAAUUCAGUUUUUUCUUUUUUUUGUCGAACAAACACAUUAAUUUCAGAAAUAAAUCUCGCAAUAGCAAAAUAUUACAGAAGACUGCCCCCUAAUCCCACAGGACUAGAAGCAAAACAAGAAUGAAAAACAUAAACAAUGCCUAAUCAUCGCUCCAUUAUUGUUCAUUCUGAUUUGUUGCAGGCCUGAUGAUAAACUUGGUAAACUCGGUUUAAGGAUGCCGGCUCGUGCAGUGGACAUUCGGAGAUUGGACGGCGGCGGAGGAUUGUACCGAAGAUCACAUAAGGAAGAAAAGAACAAUGUUAUCCUCUUUAUGGGGAUUGCCGAUAUCCUUCAAGGAUACGGCGUGCUCAAGCGUGUGGAGCAUGUAUUCAAAUCUCUGCAGUAUGAUACACCAUCGAUCUCAGGAUCAAAUCCCAAGGCUUAUUCGAUCCGUUUUCAGGAGCUUCUUUGCACUUUAUUUCCAGAAAACCUCUGAUGCCGGCAAAAUCUAGUAAUUAUGUAUACUUUCCUGAAUGUCAGGAACUCUAUCUAGUAAUGGUGAGUGUGUAUAGAUAAACUCUAUUCAAAGUAAAAUUGUAGCAAUACCUAUGGAAUUUCUUAAUAUAAUUUGUCCACAUAUGAACACUUAAAACAUGUAAUUUCUCACUUGGCGUGUGACAUUUUUAAGAUAACAGUUCAUAAACUCUUUUGCCUUAACAGUUUCUUGGGUAAAAUGUAGGGGUAGUUCUAGUACUAUCCCCAUAUUGCAAGUAGGUCCCUGUAUUCUUGAUCUUUGAACAACAAAAAAAAACUGCAUUUAUUUUGAAAAUUGACAUUUCAAGCUUAUUCGAACUGAACUAAAAUGAUAAAUUAAAUUGUUAAUAUUUUUUUAUUCAAAGCAUCUGUUUAAUUGAAUUAAUUACUAAUUUUGUUAAACUUCACAGCACUAACAACUUUCCAAUUGACCAAAGUGUUAAUUCUUCAAAUCCAAUCAGCUAAAAUGCAAUGGAAUAUGCUUUGUCCACUUACUAGUUUUACAACUUUUUAAUUACGUUUACGUGAUAGUUUUCUAUUAGUUAUCUUUAUCUUUAUCUAUGCACGAAUUGAAUUAUAAUACUCUUCUCGUGAAUUGUACUUGUCAUCCAAUUAAAAUCCUCCAUACAUCUUCGCCUAAGACAUAUGCAUUGGCCCACAAACCUAAGCACCUAAUAAUGGAUAAUACUUAACUUGGCAUUCAUUCACAAUACGCAUUCGUGUUCUUUUCCUUUUGAAGUACUUAUUUAAGUUUUAUCCUAGUCCAUUCGUAUUCUUCUCGAAAUUUGGUUAGUUCAACUGCUGUAGUGCUGUGUUAGAUCCAAGACACAAACUUAUCAUGAGCUCAUAUGGUCUCAUGUAAUCUAAAAUGUAUACAAUUCAUAUUAUCUUUUAUAGAAUAAUUAACAAAGUAUGUGAUCACAUGGAGGCAUUAUGGGGCCUAGAUUAAUUAUUUAUAGUCCUAAACAAAGUCCUUAAUGUGGUUUAGAAAAGGUGGGACACAAUGUUGGCUUAUGUUAUAGGAAAAGGGGGUACAUUCUUAAGUGGUGGAUCACUUCUUAAUUUGCUAAUUAAUAUGACGAAACUAAGCAGUUUAUCAACAGAGAAUUAAUAUUUGUUCCGCCCAUAAACCUCUCUAGCUUUCUCCCUCAUGGAAAUUUCAUAUAAUAAAGUACGCAAAUAAUGCUCUAUGCUAACCAAAAAAAAUAGUAUAAUAAUUCGCAAAUCAUAAGCUCAUAAGCAAUGAAUAUUUAUCUCUUCGUGAUUUACGUCUCCCCGCAAAGAAAAAAAAAAAAAGUGGUAUUCUACUAACAUAGUUGUGUACUUUUAUUUAAUUUGUCAGAAAAUGUAACUCAUGAAGACAUAGACAUACAUAAUUGUAUGGUGGUAAACUAUUUUUAAAUUUAUUUGUAAGCGUAGUGCAAAUACACAAUUUGGAUGAUGAAAAAUUUAUCUACGGAUCAUCGAUCCUACAUAAAUUGGCGACAUCCAAGAACAUGUAGCUCGGUAAAAUAGAAAUAUCGAAAAAGAUUGCAGCUUUAGUUGGUUGGUUCGCAAAGUAGUUUUUUUUUUUUUUUUUUUGAGAGAGAGAGAGAGAGAUAGAUAGCACGCUAGCUGCUUCGUUUAUUUCAUUUAGAAAUAAACUUAGCUGAAGAUGUGAAUCAACUAGGAUUCGAACUUGGGUCCCUUCGCAAAGUAGUUGAUCAUUGUACACCUUUAGAAUGAAGGUUUUCAUUCUUCUGAAAUCAAUCCAGUCUAGCUCUAUAAAAAAGGUUAUAUGCAUAUAGAUUCUUACAAAUAAAGUAAAUUACAAAUAUAUUUCUAUAUAAAGUUCAACUUUUAUAUAUUAUUUCUACAAAAAUUUUAGAAAAAACUUCAAAAACCCUCCUUGUGGUUUCAAUUUUUUACACUUUCGUACCCUGUGGUUUAAAUGUAUCAAGUUAGUACCAUGUGGUUUCUCACUUUAUCACUUUAGUGCCCUGUGGUUUAAAGUGUAUCAAGUUAGUACUCUGUGGUUUUGCACUUUAUCACUUUAGUAUCCUGCGGUUUUAAUUUUGUAUCAAGUUAAUACCCUGUGGUUUUUUAAAUCACAGGGUACUAAAGUGAUAAAGUGUGAAACCACAAGGUACUAAAGUGAUAAAGUGCAAAACCAUAGGGUACUAAAGUUAUAAAGUGAGAAACCACAUGGUACUAACUUGAUACACUUUAAACCACAGGGUACUAAAAUAAAAAAGUGUGAAACCACGGGAGGGGUUUUGAAGUUUUUCCAAAAUUCUACUAUUUUUAAAUUUGUCAUUCUGAUUUAUUACUGUCAGAGAACAGUUAACGACUGUUUAUGUUUUCAAUUUUGUCAUCACAAAUACGUCUCUCUAAAUGUCGCAAUAAUAUAAUAUAAAAAAGAUAAAAAUAUAAAGUUAUCUUAUAAAUUAACCAGAGUUAAGUAUUUAAUAUAUGAUUAACUAAAAAUUUUCUAACGAAUUCUAAUUGUAGAAAUAUAUUUAAAAAUAUUAAAUUUUUUAUAAAAAUAAUAUAUAAAAAUUAAACUUUUAAUAAAUAUAUUUAUAAUUUAUUAUAUUUGUAGGAAUCUGCAUAUAAUCCAAAGGAUUACGAUACUGCUUGGAAACUUUACUGUAUUAUGAUGUUUACAUCUUGCACCGAAUAAUCCUAGGAUAUUUUCUUUUAAAAAAAAUCGCAUUAAAGAAAAAUUUAUACCCAUAUUAAUUAUAGAUAUUUUGGACACCAAUAUCUACAUAUGUACACCAUUCGAAUAUUAUGAUUUUUUCGUAUCUAAUGAAUGACCUGUAACUGCACCACGGUCUCUUGAAGAUAUGACAACUCAGAGUUAGAAAUGUUGAGCUAAAAACUGGUACGUUGUUUCAAUAAGCCAACUCAGAAGUUACCCAGAACAUAUAUAUAUAUAUAUAUAUAUAUAUAUAUAGCUAGGUUAGUAUAUUAUCGGUAACACAGAGGUCUCCGUACUACUAAGUUAUUUUCAAUAAUGCGGUUUCCAAAUCGACGAUCAGUUCCGUAAGACUUGAUCUACACUAUUAAAAAUAUUUGAAAACUAAAUUCAAUAAUUUUUCGGUAUUAUUUACCUAUCAAACAAGUAAUCUAAAAAUAAACAGUUGAAAAUUAAAAUCUCAUAAAAUGAUGAAAAAAGACUUGAAUUUAAGAUCAGAAUUACUGGUCUUACUCUAAAUAGUGAAAAAAAAAUUUUAAUAAAAAUUUCAUCAAAUUUGAAUUGUUUUACACCGUUAAAGUUACAAAGGCUUUACAUCUACCAUUAAAAUUGUCAAUUUUGAGACCUUUUGAUCACUAGCCAAAUAAUGUCGAAAAAUUCUGAACUUUAGUUUCCAAAUAUUCUUAAUAGUAUAGAUCAAGUCUAACGGAACUAAUCGUCGAUUUGGAAGCCGCAUCAUUGAAAACAACUUGGUAGCACGGAGGCCUCCGUGCUACCGAUAGUAUACCAGCCUCUCUCUCUCUCUCUCUCUAUAUAUAUAUAUAUAUAUCUAUAUAUAUAUAGACUUAAACUGGACUACUAUCAAUAGCACCAAGCAUUUUAUGCUAUUAGGUUUUCGGCUCUUGGAUUAAAAAAUGUACGGUUAGGAUAAUGUGGGCCCGCUAGGGUUGAGUGAGUUGUUGGUUUAAUAGUAUAAUCUAAUAGGUGAAAUUAGUCAAAGGGUUAAAUCUAAUGGCGGAAAACUUGAUAGCACCAAAUGCAUGGUGCUAUUGAUAGUAUCCUAGCCGAACUAUAUAUAUAUAUAUAUAUAUAAUUGAGCUAGAAUACUCUCAAAAGCACCAAGGAGUGGUGUUUUUGAGUUUUUAGCCUUUGGAUGGAAAAAUGUAGAGUUGGGAUGAUGGUGGUAAAUGGUGGCAGGUGGAAUAGUGUUUGAUAUAAGAGUUAUUAGUAAUCAAGGAGUAUAUCCAAGGAUAGAAACUUAGAAGCACCAAGAGAUUAGUGCUUCUAAAAGUAUUCUAGCUCAAUUCUCUCUCUCUCUCUCUUGCUCUCUAUAUAUAUAUAUAUAACUCUCUCUUGCUCUAUAUAUAUAUAUAUAUAUAUAUAUAUAUAUAUAGAGCAAGAGAGAGAGAGAGAGAGAGCUAGGCUGGUAUGCUAUCGAUAGCACGGAGGCCUUCGUGCUACUAAGUUGUUUUCAAUGAUGCGGCUUUUUAAAGAGACUAUCGACUCCGUUAGACUUGAUCUACAGUAUUGAAAGUAGUUGGAAACUAAAUUUCAUAAUUUUUUGGCAUCAUUUAUCUAUCAAACGAGUAGUUUAAAAAUGAACGGCUGCAAAUAAAAAAUUUAUAAAAAAUGAUGAUAAAAUACUUGAAUUUAAGAUCAGAGGUACUGAUCUUACUCUAAAUAGUGAAACGAAUUUUUUAUAAAAAUUUCAUCAGAUUUGAAUUGUUUUAUACUGUUAAAUUCACAAACGCAUGACAUCUACCAUUAAAAUUAUUAAUUUUAAGACCUUUUGAUCACAAGCCAAAUGAUAUCGAAAAAUUAUGAAAUUUAGUUUCCAUAUAUUUUCAAUAAUAUAAAUCAAGUCUAACGGAACCGAUCAUCGAUUUGAAANUUUCAAAUGGGAUUUUUUUUUUUUUUGUACACCGAUGUAUAUAUAAAAUAUUACUCCUGUGGUCUCGCACUUUCUUACUUUUGCAUUAUGUGGUUUAAAGUGUAUCAAGCUAGUGUUAUGUGCUUUCAUUUUUAUUUUUUUCGGGCUUCUUCGUUAAUAUUUUGUUAAACUAUAUACAAAAAACUUCAGAUACCCUACUUAGGUUUAUCAAAUAUUUAUUUUAGUACUUUUUAUUUUUAAUUUUGUUACUGAUUUAACGAAAAAAAAAUUAGUGAAAUCGAGAAUAGAAAGAUAAAAAUAAAACCACAUGGUACUAAAUUAAUACACUUUAAACAAUACGGUACUAAAGUGAGAAAGUAUGAAACCACAUUGAUGAUAUUUGAUUUUUUUUUAUAACAAUUAUUAUUAUAUAACGUUAUAUUGUAAAAUAAAAAUAAAUAAAUUUUUUUAGACCAUACAAAAUAUAAAUUUGAAUAUUUUUAAAAACGUAAUAGUAAACAAAAUCUGAACUUAUUUAUUUUUUUUAAAAAAAUAUCAUACUAUCAGCCUUAUAAUUUUUUUAAAAAAUCAGACUAUCGCAAUGCUUUACAAGUUCUUAUAAAUUUUCACUUUGCUUCUUCGAGAUCAUUUGCAUGUUAGGUCGGAAAAACAGUUAUUUACUUUUACCUUAAAUUCUUCUUUUCUUUUUCUUUUUUUUUUUUUAAAAAAAAGGACUAAGAAUCGAACUCGAUGGGGUCCAACUGUUAGACCAAAAUGGACUGGAUUCAGUGUUGUAUUUAGAGAUCAUGUGCAUCUCAAAGUGGGCAAAUUUUGUAAUCAACCGAGUGAUCUAACUCCAUAUAUAAUGGCCCAAACGUACAACUGAUCAAUUUUGGUCCUUUAUAUAUGUAGAUAAGUAGGUGCACUUUAUUAGGCAGUGAUUCUCCAUGUCCUGUGCUACACGUUUUUGAGCUAAAAAUUGGACAUUUUUUGUGGGGGAUCUAUCACUUCUGCUACCUAUGAAUUAUUUCUUGUUUCUAUAUGUAUAUAUAUAUACAUCUGUGUGGUUGGUUGGGUAUACUUUUGUGCAAUACCCCUUGAUUAACUAAAAUAAUGUAAUAAGAGUAUUAAGGGUGAAAUUUGUGAAUAAAAUCUUUGUUGUAUUCUAAAAUUGCAACUCUCAUCCAUCACUGCAUCUGCGCCACUUUUUAAAUUUUUAAUAAGUUACUAUAAAUGUGUUAGCGGGGAUUGAAACCUCCGACUUUUGAAAUUGCCUCUUCUGCAAACAACUACACUAAAUAAGAGUAGUUGAUUCUUGAACUUAUCAUUAAUUAUUAGACAUAGUUUAGGAUUAAUGUGUUAUUUGAAUUCAUUAAUUCUUCCUGCUAAAACUCUUCGAAAUUUUGAAAGUACUUAAAUUAAUCCUGCUUCGAUGCUUUAAAGUGGUAGAAGAUGAUGUACUUCUCUGAUGGUGAAUUUUACCACCAUUUUAAGUCAUCAUAGAAAUAUAUAUAGAGAGAGAGAACUAGGCUGGAAUACUAUCAAUAGUAUCAAGCUAUUAGUGCUAUUAGUCUUUUAGCCCUUAAAUUAAGAAUGUAUGGUUAGGAUGAUAUGAGCCCCUUAGAAUUGAGUAAGUGGUUGGUUGAAUAUAUAAUCUAAUGGGUAAAAUUAAUUAAGGAAUUAUCUAACGAUGGAAAACUCGAUAGUACCAAAUCCUUGGUGCUAUCGAUAAUAUCCCAGCCGGACUAUAUAUAUAUAUAUAUAUAUAUAUAUAUAUAUAUAUAAUACUAUCGAUAGUAAACGAACCGUUUUACUACCUAUUUGUUUUCGAUGAUAGAACUUCCAAAUUGACAAUCGGCUCCGUUGAAUAUGAUCUAUACUACUUAAAGUGUUUAGAAAUCAAAUUUCAAAUUUUUUCGACAUCAUUUGCCUAAUGAUCAAAGGGUUUCAAAAUUUGUAAUUUUAAUUAAAUUGAUAAUGUAGGUUAGUUAUAACUGCUGUAUUUUCAGCCGUAUAUAUCUCUAACUAUACUGUAUUUAUAAUUACAUCUAACAAAAACUGCCUCUUAGUGCAUCCAUGUCCCUUAGUGCAUCAAUAAUAUAUAUAUAUAUAUAUAUAUAUAUAGUUGAGCUAGAAUGCUAUCGGUAGCAAACUAGCUCCGUUGCCACCCAUUUGUUUUCGAUGAUAGAGUCUUUAAAUUGACGAUCGACACCGUUGAACAUGAUCUAUACCACUUGAAGUAUCUAAAAACCAAAUUUCAAAUCAUUUCGACAUCAUUUACCUAAUGAUCAAAGGGUUUCAAAAUUUGUAAUUUGAAUGGUAGAUAUAAAACGUUUUCUCGUUUAACGAUGUAAAACUAUCCAAAUCAAUUGAAUUUUGGUUAGAAAAUUCUUUAAACUAUUUAGAAUAAGAUCUAUACUCUCGAUCUUGAUUACAAAAUUCAUAUCAUCACUUUUUAGAGAAUAUUCAUUUUCAGCCGUUUAUUUUUACGCUCACUUGAUGGACAAGAGAACAAUAUCGAAAAAAUAUGAAAUUUGAUUUCUAGAUACUUCAAGUGAUAUAGAUCAUGUUCAACGGUACCGAUCGUCGACUUGGAGGCUCCAUCAUCGAAAACCAAUUGGUGGCAACGGAGCCCGUUUGCUACCGAUAGUAUUCCAGCUCAACUCUCUCUCUCUAUAUAUAUAUAUAUAUAGUUGAGCUAGAAUACUAUCGGUAGCAAACGGAUUCCGUUGCCACUCAUUUAUUUUCGAUGAUGGAGCCUCCAAAUCGACGAUCGACACCGUAGAAUAUAUGGGGCAAUUUCAUAGAUGCCCUUUCUAAACUUUAAAAUAUCAUAUAUACCCUUCUAAAAUUUAAAAUAUCAUAUAUACCCCUGUAAACAUCAAAAAUUAACAUCAAUACCCCUACUGUUAGUUAUUCUAACUUUACCAUAGUUAUUAAAUAGUUAAAGAUGGGUUAACUUUUAAUAUGACUAGUUUACCCUCAACUCCUAUAAGUAAAAAUGCAUGGAGAUCCCUCAGCUAUAUGUCAUUUUAAAACAACUCCCUCAACUUUUAUAUUUUAGUUGACAUCCCAUUAAUUUUUAAUUUUUUAAAAAAUUAACUAAUUUUAGUGCACGGAAAAUGAGAUUUUGUCCAUUUUUUUAUGAUUUAACAAAAUCUAGUGGCUCUAUUUAUAUUUUAGCAAAUAAAUAACUAUGUAUAAAAAUUUAAAUAAAAAUAAAAGUUGAGGAUUUUUUUUUAUCUUUGUUUAAUCUUGGAAACUUGCAAAAUUUUUUAACCAAAAUUAUUCACGAUAAUUUUAUCUAUAUUAAAUGCAUUAAAAAACUGAAAUAUUAUAUAUUUUAGCUUUUGAACAAAACUCUCUCUUUUUUUUCAAUCGACGAAAAAAUGCAUGCAUAUAGUUAUAUAAUUUAUUUUUGAUUAAAUAAAAAAAAUAAAUCUAUCAUUUAUUUUAAAUUUACUAUUACUGAUUAGGAAUGUGAAUUGAUAUAGAUAUAUAUGAACCCAAUUUUGAAUGGGUGAUCUUAAUUGAUGCUGAGCAGGGAUAGUUUCAGUUAUAGAAGCAAAAAAAAAAAGUCUCAUUAUAUUCAAAUUCAGUUAUUGUUUUAGUCUAUAUCCAAACUAAACUUGAGCCGAAAUCCGAAACCAAAAACAAAACCAAAAUUAUAUAAAAACAUAUUAUAUAUAAAAUACAUUUUUUAUAUAUUUUUAAUAAUUAAUGUAUAUAUUAAUAAUUUAGUUUUAUAUUUAGUAUAUUAAAUUAGUUAAAUUUAUAUUUAUUAAAAUUGUCUUAAAAUACCUAUUAGUAAUUUUACUAUUGAUAAGAGAUAAAGGGUAAAAAUGGCAUUUAGAAAAUUUAAUCCCAUUUCUAACUGACUUUAACUAGUGGAGGGUAUGUAUGAAAAUUUUUUAUAUUUUGGAGGGUAUUCAUGAUAUUAUCAAUUUUAGAAGGGUAUUGAUGAAAUUAAAAGUCCCCAGAAGGGCAUCUAUGAAAUUAUCCCUAUAUAUAUAUAUAUAUAUAUAUAUAUAUAUAUAUAUAUAUAUAGAGAGAGAGAGAGAGAGAGAGAGAGAGAGAGAGAGAGAAUUGGGUUGAGUAGUAUUAAUAGUAUUUGANCACGAAACCAAACAAAGAAAUAAAACUCGACAAUAAAAAUAAAAUUUUCAAUCUUUCUAGUUUAAUACAAAUAAUUACUUCGAAUGUUUACGCAGGUAAAUUCUUUGCACCAAAAGAAAUAAUCAAAAAAUUGAACAUAUAUAUGUGUCCGGCUUAUACUAUCGAUAGUAUCAAUCUCUUGAUACUAUCGAGUUUUCUAUCGUUAAAUCUACUUUUUGAUCAUUUCCAUCCGUCAGAUUAUAUUAUUCAAUCAACCAUUUACUCAACCCUAGAAAUUUGUUAUCAUCUUAUCCGCAUAUUUUUUUAUCCAACGGUCGAAAAUUCGAUCGUACCAAACAAUUGGUACUAUCCAUGGUGUAGUAGCAUAAUUAUAUAUAUAUAUAUAUAUAUAUAUAUAUAUAUAUAAAAUAUUUUUUUUUGGAGAAGUUGGAGAAAUUAUUAAUGACUUCAUCAUUAUGGUGUUAACUCAUUAAUGGCUUAAGUCUCAUUGAUGGUCGUGCAAAGCCAACCACCCAUGUGACAACGAGAGCAUUCAUGGAGUGGUUUGGGAAUUAAUAAAAAUAAAAAGCUUCAUGUUUGACUUUGACUAGCGAAUCGCAGUUUCCCAUUAAUCAUUUGCAUCUUGCAAAACAUUCUAUACUAGUGGUGGUAUGUAUUAUGUAAUGAUCUUAAUAAAUAUACUAUAUUUGGCAACACCAAACUUGAAGUGCAUCAAAUUAAUUAUAAAAACUUAACCACUCUUUUGGAUAAUUCGUUUGCUUAAAGUUAAACUUUUGGUUCCACGAAUUUCGAAUUGAACAUGAUAAAUGCAACCAAAUCCGACUGUUUUACCCGUGAUUUGUCAUUUUUCCUUUCUUUUCCUUAGGUUUCCUUUUGUGUACUUUUGAAAAGCAGCUAACUUCCAAAGUAAAAUUCUACCAUUCACGUUUAUGCUUAAAUAAAUAACUAGAUUUCGAGAAUCUGUAAAUCAUUUUGGCCGCUAGCUGUUGAUCAGCCACUCUCUCUGGAUCGGUUAUUGGGAUUCUGUAACAAAAACGUCAAAUUAAAUUUUUAUCAUAAAUUCGUCUUCUUAGCAAAAAUUUGACACAACCACAAGAGAAAAAAAAUCAAAUAGAAAAUAUUGGUAAAAUAAGAUUCACUAAAAAAAAGAAAAAUUACACCUCACUUAUCUUUUAUACAGAGUAGCUUCAACUCCAGCCCUCUUUUUAAAUCUCUUUGUCCCCAUUUGUCUUAUGUAAAUUAUUAACCUACAAAACUUCUCUCAUAUCUUGUGCACUCAUGCACAAGAUAUAUCAAUAACUCACGCCUAUGAAAAGUCGCACACAUCCUCUUGCACCCACUUACUUGGUGCAUCUAAGUUUUUUUUUUUUUUUUUUUUUUUUUUUUUUUGAGAAUUAGGUAGCGAGUUACCUGCUUCAUUUGGUGCAUCUAAAUUUAUGACCAUUUUGGCGAGGCCACAUGCACAAAAAAAAAAUCUAAUUAAUAUUUAAAUAUUAAUUAAUUUAUCUUCAACGGAUUAAAAUAUUUAUCCUAAUUUAAUUAGUAUUCAACUAUAAUUUAAUCAAAUCAUAACAUAAAUACACCUUUCCCUAUUUUAUUUUACCUCUGUUAGCAGGAGGCACAAAUUGAUGACAGCAUGUGCGCAAGAAAUCCACUCAUUCAAUCUUCAAUAAAAGGAGAGCGCCAUCCCAUCCCAAACUUUCAAACUGAUCCUCCGAUCACUGCAGUAAAUUUCUCUAAACCCAGCUGCAGCACACAUGUGUGUCGUUAAAUUCUGAACCCAGCGAAUAUAGAAACAUUUUCCCCAUAUUUUGAAGAAAAUAAAAUUCCUUUUCAGAGGAGAACGUAGAAACAUAAAGCCCUGCAUCUACUACGAGUUGUCGCCAAUGCCCCCUAAAAGUUGAUGGGGCCAGAUAUUCAAGUUUCUGUGAUCCCGUUGAAAAAGCAAAAGCUAACACACUCAAUUUAAUAACUGCAGUUAUGAUAGCUCCAUGUCCCCUAAAUUUGUGGAGUAGUGAAAAGUGCAAGAACUACAGAAACUAGCAAACAAAUUAAUUGUGUUUAUGACUAGCCUCCGUCUUCCUAAUAUUUACAUUUUUCAGUUUGUCCCCAGCCACUCAAUUUUUACGGUUCAGUCCUAACAUUAAACAUGAAGUUUUCUAAUAAAUACCCAAAAACCACCCAACAAGGUCUUUCCAAACUAGCACUUUAUUUUCAACAAAAAAAGCACUCCAAUAAUUAACUGAUGGAGGAGUCCGGCUACUAUACUUUUAUGAGUAUUAGUUUUUUUAUAUUCAUAAGUUUUCGGUUCUUAGAUUUAUUCUAUUGAUCAUUUGCACCCGUUAGAUCAUACUAUUCAACCAACUAACCACUCAACCCUAGGAGACCAUUAUCAUUUUAAGUGGGGACCACCAUCAUCCUAACCACACAUUCUAUCGAUCAAAAGUUAGAAAUUUAUGAGUAGAAGGGGGUCUAUACUCAUAAGAGUAUAGCCCAGCCCUGAUGUAGAUACUAGGAACUUAAUUGUAAAAUUAAUAAGUUUGCAGGGGCUCAAGUAAGAACUGGACUAAUAAAGCUGCGGAGAAAGAGCUAUGCUCUUUUUACUUAUUCUGUUCUUCUCAAUUCUGCAGUUCAUUUAUUGCCAGAUCCUCGAGCUUUCCACUAAUUACGCCUAUAUUUCACUUUUCUCCUACUCUCUCUCUCUCUCUCUCUCUUUCUCUCUCACUCUCAUCCCCAUCAUUAUUAUUACGACAACAAAAAGGGAGAUCCUUUUCCCUCACAGCUUCUCUUCUCUCUCUACGCCCUUUCUCUCUUCCUCCCCUCCAUUGACAGAGAGAGAGAGAGAGAGAGAUGGAGGGAGGGGAAAAAGGGGUAGCAAUCGAUGAGGGGGGCGUGGUGGGGGACGAUGAUGGUGUCGGGGCAAAGGGGGAGGAGGAGUUUUUAGGGCUCAAGCUGAGGAGGGGGAUCGCGGCGGGGAGGAGGAGGGCGGGGCCGUGCACGCCGGUGCCAACCUGGAAGCUGGAGGACUCCGCCGGGCCCCCGCCGCACGCCGAGGCCGCCGCCGCCGCCGCCGUCGCCGCCGCGCCGCGGCGGAGCUCCGUCUCGGCGCGGAAGCUCGGGGCCAACCUGUGGGAGAUCCACGACGUGCUCCCGGAGGCGCCCGGGAUGCGGCGGCGGAGCCACCGGAUCCGCCGCCAUCACCGCGAGCGCGGCGCUGGCGCCGGCGAGGGACUCGACGACGAUCGCCCCGACCACUCGCCGCUUAACCCCAUCGAUAGGGUGAGAUUUUGGUCGAUUUGUGCGAAAUUGGUUCUCUUUUGGGUUAUUUUCAUGCGUAUAAUGCAUGCUCUCCCAAUUAAUUCAUUGUACAUCUCCUAUCCCAACGAACAGUUUAGAAACGCAAAAUGGAGAAGCGAACUGGGGAAAUGGUAUUGAUCUUUGAGGUGAUCAACUUCCCCAGGUUAAAGCAUUACAAAAUAAUUGUAACUUUUUGAUGAAAAAGAUUCAAAUCUAUAAUGCGGAGACAAAGAUUGAGCCUUGAGAUUAAUUAAUAAACUGAGGAGGUCGCAGGAUCCGUCUCAUAUAUAUACUUUACGAACUAAGUGAGGUUCUUAUAUUUCUCGGCUUACAAUUUCCAUGGCUUGAUUGAUUGCUCUGUGAAAAAUGUAGUUGCGUUAUUUACCCGAAAAGUUCCACUUUAAUAUAAUAUCUACCCUUGGAAACUGUUGAUUUUUGGAGAACAUCUUUGUGAGAGGAGAGCACAUUACCUACUGUUUGAUCUUCUUUUUGCAAUGAACACCUUCUCAAUAUUUUUCGCUCUUGCAGUUUCUCUUGUAAGAGGCAUAAUCCUUUGAUGGAAUCCUUCAUUUGUUUACAAGAUAUCUGGACUUGAGUCGAAAUGUAAUCCUCCAUAUGAAAGAGUCUGAUCGACCUCUGAAAACUUGCUCUUUGGAGUUGGAUAUUCGCCUUCAAUAUUUCCCACACUUGUGCUUUUGUCCUCAAAAUCUUUGUUUUGUCUCAACUGGCUCUUCCGGAACUAUUUUUCUUCUUCUAAAGUUGACUUGCUUCAAGCACGAUUAUGUUGAUCAGCUGAAAUUGAAACAUAGGAUAUUCUUCUUACAGGCAACUAAUCAAUGUGUUGGAUGAUGGAAUCAACUAAUCGUGUGCACAGUUAUCAUCGUGAACAACCUGACAAUCAAGAAAUUGAGCAGUAGAAAAAGGGCUCUUGCUGUCUCUGUUAUUUUGUGAAUGUUUUGUAGCCGAUGUGAAGACAUAACCCUUCUUUGAACAUUUCUGACAUCUAUUUCUCUAAUCAAUCUUGAUCUCCAUUAAGAAGUUGCAAAUCACCCUGCAUACUCUGUGAUACUAGAUGCUUGCCGAUUCAAACUCAAGUUUGCAUUUUCAUUGUUGGAUCUAGAUAAAAAAGAAACAUCAUAUUCCUAGCAUAAAGACUUAUAUUUAGAAGGGAGGAGAAAACAGUUGCCAUGAAAUUUUUGUGGAGACAAAACUGAAUUUCCAUCAUCAAUUGAAUUUACUCCAUAUAUUGGUAACAGCCCUAUCCUUGGCAUGUUGCAUUAUUCCACGCUAACUUGAAGUUUAGUUAUUCGGUUCACUUUGUUCAAUGUCUCCCUGUCAUUCGCUACUUACUAUAACAUUGAUCACUUCAGCCGCAGAGUUGUGGUAGUCUGAGGAGAUAUAUUGCGUCAUCAUUGAUCCAACAUCACAAGGUGAAUGAAAGGAAUAGUCGAGCCCUGCAACCUAUAUCUCCUGCAAGUUAUAGUAGCUCAAUGGGGGUAAGUGUGUAAAAGCUAUCUUUCUCUUGCUUGCUAGUUUCUUGUUCACAUGUUAAGGCAUUUGUUUUCGAAUGAUAUAAUUGAGACAUAUUUGAACAGAAGAAUAGUAUUUUUACCUCGAUGCUUGUGGUCAUAUAAUUUAUAAAAACUGACAGUUGGGAUUUUCUUGAGAAACAUGUCAAAUUUUCUUCUAAUUGUUUAGCUAUGAUAUUUUUUGUGCUUAUCACAAUAAUAUCAUUGAUUGUAGUAGAGACAUUGGAAUAGUGAGUCUACAUGCAGUGAGAUAGUGUCAGACCUUUCAUGUUUGGUGAAAGCAUUGGCAGCUUAAAGUAAGGACUCCUUCAAAAGUGCAUGUUAACACUGUAAAAUCAUUAAUUCAAACACAAACACAUUAAGGCAUUUGGAGUCCGAGUGUGUAUCUUACAUGGUUUAUUACAUGUUUGGGAGGAUAAUUGAUGUCCCACACUAAAUGUAAGAAAUUAUUUAGCUUAAGCUGUUUUAUCAUUUAUUUUUUGCAUGCCUGCUGUAUCUUAUUUGUUUCUUGCCAGGUAAAUAAUUCAUUUGUGUUUGAAGAUGACUACCAAGUUAUUUUGGAUGCAAAAUUUGCUAUUUUAGUUUAGUAUGCUGGUGUAAACAUCACAAUUGAACCUCUCUUGAGGAAUAAUAUAAUUUUCGCUUCCAUGUCUAUUCAUGUGAUCUCUGCUUUUCUCAGGUUGCUGCUAUUAAUCAAGCGAUAACUCCUAGUAGUUCUUUGGAUCUCCACAGAAGGCCCGAGGGGGCAUAUAGUCUUAAAACAUCGACGGAAUUGCUGAAAGUUUUGAAUCGAAUUUGGAGCUUGGAAGAACAGCACACGGCCAAUGUAUCGUUGGUUAAAGCAUUGAAAGUAGAAUUGCAAAACGCACGUGCCCGUAUUCAAGAGCUUAUGCAAGAACAACAGAGCUACAGCCAAGAAGUGGAUUCAUUAAUGAAGCAACUUUCAGAAAAUAAAGUGAUUCAGAAAAACAAAGAGCGAGAAAAAAUUAAAUCAGCAGUGGAGUCGAUGCGAGAUGAGCUUGAGGACGAGAGGCGGUUGAGAAAGCGUUCUGAGAGCCUUCAUAGAAAACUAGGCAGAGAGUUGUCCGAAAUAAAAUCAGCAUUCCUAAAGGCCGUGAAAGAUUUGGAAAUGGAGAGAAAAGCAAAUCAACUACUUGGAAACCUUUGUGAUGAGUUUGCGAAGGGAAUCAGAAAUUACGAAGACGAAGUGAGGGAUUUGAAGCAGAAGACUGGAAAGGAUUAUGAAUAUAAAUUUGAUAGAUUAAUUCUUCAUAUUUCUGAAGCAUGGCUAGAUGAGCGAAUGCAGAUGCAAAUGGCUGAAUCAAGGGGAGAUUUGGUUGAAAGAGAUAACUCGAUCACGGAGAGAUUAAGUGGUGAAAUCCAAGCUUUUCUUCAAAUGAAGUGUUCAGCUAAUUCUAAGGAAUAUGAUGCGAAUCUGAUCGACAGAAAAAGAGAGAUUAACUUGCGGCGCCAAUCUCUCGAGUCUGUCCAUUUGAAUGGGCCUACGAGUGCGCCGCAGGAUGGUGAAGAUGACGAUUCUAUCGCGAGUGAUUUGCACUGUUUCGAACUUAACAUGGGCGAACAUGAAAUCAAGAGCCAUGAACAGCUAAAAGGAACUUAUGGCAACGGCGUAGAAAGGUUGGAUUCGGCAAGGAAAUCUUACUUCCGAGGGAAAAAGAUAGAGUUUCCUGAAAACAUCACAGAUCAAAGUGCAUCUAGCUCGCAAAUGCUUAUUGGGCAAAAAGAGAAGAAAGAGUCAGGCAACAGAGUACAGAAUACUACCUCAGAACAUGGUGCUCAGAUCGGAGUCAGAACACUCAAGAAUGAGAUUAAUAUGGACCGUAAGUUUGAAGAAAAUCAGUGUCAGGAAGGUGACGCGAGCAUAACACCAGAGCAGAACAAUGUUCAUGGAGCGAGCCGCCUAAGUGAAAGUUUUGAUUUUGUAGAAUGGAAGGCUAGAUUCGGCGAAGGAACCAGUUCAGAAGAUUUGCACAACCACCACCCUCCGUCGUCCAAUCUCGAGAUAUCCGAAUCCUCAUCGAAACUAUCGCAGGGCGUGAGAGAGAACACUUUGAAGGCAAAAUUACUUGAAGCAAGGUUAGAGGGGCGGCACGCCCGUUUGAAAGCUUUGAGAGGCUCUUCAAUUACCCGAACGAAGCAACAAACAAAGCCAUAAAAGGUACCACUCUCUAGGGCAAAGAUGUUGCAUGUUCUUCUGCAGCUCUCUCUUUCCUCCAGUAGUUUUGGAAAUUCUGUAUAUGAUGAGCAACAAAGUAUGUGGAGGACUACUCACUACCAGCUUUACUACCAAGUAUAUUUUGAUUAGGAUUUUUGAGUAUCGUGUAUAGUAUCGGACUCAAGUAUAUAACUUUCAUUUGAAUGAUAUAUCUCCCUUCUUUAUCCAUAUUUUGUUGUGCAUGUAGUUAACUGUUUUUACUAGCAGUAAAAACUAACCUUAACAUCUUCAAAUGCAUGCCCUGAAUAAUUUGCUAGUUACGCUUCAGAGAGUAAUUCUAAAUUGGUAUCAACUGAUGAUGAAAUUGGAAACUGAUUUGUUGGAGGUCAACUUUCUCAGAGAACGAUGGAGAAUACUGAACUUAAUUUUCUAUUCUAAUCCCAUGUUAAAUUACAAUGAAACAAUCCUUGUUCUUAGUUUAGAAUAAUAUUGAUAAUAUUCUAUGAUCAACAUCAUGUAUUACGGACAUUUCUAUAAGCCUCGUAUAUCCGUGUCUUACAUGUGUUUGUAUCUGACACGUGUCAUCAUGUAUUAUGGACAUUUCUAUAGGCCUCGCAUAUCCGUAUCUUACAUGUAUUUGACACGUGUCCGAUGUGGACACUUUUUGAAGGCGCGUUCAAUGCUGAUUCGUAGUACUUAUAAUUAAAACAAUUGUAUAUAUAUAUAUAUAUAUAUAUAUAUAUAUAUAUAUAUAUAAAAUGUAAGAUGAUAAAUAUUUUAGUUUUUGAUUAAUACAUAUAAAUUUUUUUUGAUAAUAUAAAAAAAAAAGUAUAUAUGGUGGAGAAUUUUUUUAAAAAAAUAUAUGAACUAUUAAUAAAAUUUUAUUAACUUUCGGUAACUUUGAAAAAUAUAACAAUAUUUUAUAAAAAUUAAUAUUUUAUAUAUAAUAAAAAAUAUUAUUAUAUUAAUAAUUUUAUAUUUUAUUAGUAAUAUACAUGUCGUGUCCGUGUUUUAAUUUUCUGAAAGCUACCGAAUUACCGUGUUCAAGUUGAAUCGUGUUUCGUAUUUAGUGUCUAUUUGCCUACCUUCAACAUCGAAAAACAGAAAAAAGAGUCGCAUCAGUUUAGAGGUGGGUGCUAAUUCGUAUUACGUGUCUAUUUGCCUACCUUCAACAUGUAGGCACUAAAAAAAGGGGAAAAACAGAAAAAAGAGUCGCAUCAUUUUAGAGGUAGGUGCUAAUGGCGGACAUCGUUGACAAAUAUUGCGCCCGAUUAGUCGAGUGACUUACUCGGGUGAAAGAUCCACCGACAAAAAUAAACAGUACGAAGGCUCAAUCUCAACAGUUUAGCAACCUUUGAUUAAAACAAUAAGCAACAGCGACGUGAAUAAUAAUAAUAAAUGUUUUACAAUCACAUCAUAAAUAUAUUGAUCGAGAUGCGGAUUAAAUUUGGUCUAUUUCUUCGUUAAUUUUCAGUUUUGAAUAACUGGAACAAGUUUCCGAUUAAACUCGAGUAGUUUGAAGUAACUUAAUUUUUCGAUCAAAGAAAAAGGUAAAAAAAGGGGAAGGAAAAAGAAAGAAUUAAAGAAGAAGCCGCUCUAGCUAUGAGACAUGCAUGAAAGGAUAUUUUGUAUGUUCAAAUAAACGUGAGUGUGGCUUCUGGGAGAUAAUUGAUAUUAAUUAGACUACUAUGUUUUGAUUUGCAGAAAAAAUGUAUUAUAUAUACUAGAAAAAAAAAAUUAUGUACUACAAAUAACACUUCGUUCAUUUUUAUACAUAAUAUCACUUUGAACAUAUAUAUUAUAAUUAGAGUGCAGCUAGAAUACUUAUAGAAGCACGGAGGGCUCCGUGCUUUCACUUUAUUUUCGAUGUUCGAACUUUCGAAUCGAUGAUCGGCUCCGUUAGACUUGAUCUAGAGUAUUUGAAGUCUAUAGAAAAUAAAUUUAGCAAUUUUUCGAUAUCAUUUGCCCAGUGAUCGAAGUGGCUCAAAAUCAACGGCUGAAAAUAAAAAUCUUACAAAAUAUGAUGAUAUGACAUUAAAAUUUUAGAUCAAAGUUAUUGAUCUUGUUUUAUAUGGUAUAAAGAAUUUUCUAUCAAAAUUUCAUGUAAUUUGGAUAUUUCUACACCGUUAAACUUGCAACCGGCUCACUACGGCCAUUAAAAUUAUUGAUUUUGAGCCCCUUCGAUCACUAGGCAAAUGAUAUCAAAAAAUCACAAAAUUUAUUUUCUAGGUACUUCAAAUACUCUAAAUCAACUCUAACGGAGCCGAUCGUCAAUUCGAAAGUCCGAACAUCGAAAACAACUUGGAAGCACGGAGGGCUCCGUGCUUCCUUAAGCAUACCAGCCCACUCUUAUAAUUAAGAGAUUACAGUAUAUUUUUUAUGAUCCCACCGUAUAAUAAAAAAAUACAUUUUCAUAUACUUGCGCCACAAUUUGGUUUCACAAUAGAUGGAUCUUAGCACCCACUACCAUUUUUAUUAUCUACCAAAUAAAUAUAUUAUGUUUUACCAAAUUAGAUUGUUUUGCCAUGUGAACAAGGUAAAAUACAACAUAAAUAUUUUUAAAAACAAAGGUAUAUAAUGUUGUUAAUAAAACUAAUUUAGUUUCAAAUUAUAGACGAAACUAAUCACGUUAAAAGCCUUGGUGAGACUAAAUUUGAAAAAAUACUUUUUUUACAAAUAUAAGUUAUAUUCACGUCCUCCCAAAUUAAACUUUUUCACCAACUAAGUAUUAUUCUAACAUUUUGUAAGAUAUUUUAAAAUUUAUUUGUAAAUUUUGUGUCCUACUUUAAUUGCAUUGGUAACAUGCAUUGGUAAUAGCAGGGAAACAUGGCACGUAUAAAGGAGAGCUUAUCCUCACGUAUAAAGGAGAGAUUAUCCAUGUAGGUUACAACGUCCAGUAAUUUACAUUUCCCAGUAAUCCAACAUGCAUAUAAAAUUUACUUUUUUUUGAAAAAAAGUAGCAAGCUACCCGCUUCAUUCAUCAAGCAAAAUAAAUUUGGCUAACAUGAUGGAAGCAGCUAAGGCCUCCUAAAAAAGCAGAAAAGAAGGAGAAGAAAGAACAAAAAGCGAAAGUACAGAUCGAUCUAGAGAGACAUUAAGUUAAAGAAGUCCAGGCAAUCAUCAAGUUAGAUACGCGCUGAAGAGCCCUGGUAGCAUUAGGAAGGUAAUGAUUGAAGACGGUGUUGUUACGUUCCGUCUAGACGACCCACCAAAUUGCCGUCAUGUUGGUUAGACGUUUCGUUCUGUUUGUAACGUCCGGGAUGUUAGAAUAAUUUGCCCAAAGAUGUCGCACGUCUCCCGGUCCAAAGUCAGUUGUGUCGGAGAAUCCCGAGUUGAAAAAUAGAUAUCUGGCGAAAACACAGUUGCAAAAGAGAUGAUCACAACUUUCUGAGGAAAUAGUACAGAAAACGCAAUGCUGAUUCACGGGGCAGCCUCGAAGAAGCAGUUUAUCGACAGUGAGAAGUCUUUUGCGAAGCAAUAACCAGAUGAAGAUUCUGAUUUUGACCGGAGCGAGUAAACUCCAAACGUGUACGUAUGUCGAGUCUCUCUAUCCUGCGUCAUUAAUAAAGUUGUAUGGGGAUUUAACAUGCAUAUAAAAUUUACAAGGCUCUGAUUUCCAGGCCACAGAGAUGUUGCUUUUCCCUACUCCCGUACACUCCCUACAAUUAAUAUUAGCUCCGAUUAAAAGGCCAAUUAUGGUUACAACUAAAAAGAAUGCUUAAUUCUCAUGCUAAAAAUCUUUUUCCCUUUUAAUUGUUAAUUUUUUUUAUUGAUCAUAGAUUAUAUCUUUUCAUUUUACAAAUAUAUGUAUAAGAAAAUACAAGCUUUGUAUACCAAAAUAAAAAAAUUUAAAUCUUGCACCCAUCCUAUAAAAAAGUACAAAAUUUCCAGGCGUUUCCAGAUGUAGAUAGCAUUGCUCGUGUGUGUGUGUGUGUGUCUAUAUAUAUAUAUAUAUAUAUAUAUAUAUAUAUAUAUAUAAAGCAAAGAAUGAACAUAGAGUUUGACUGCAAAAAUAAAAGAAAUUUUUUUUCAGAGUUUACAAAGCAGACUCUUUAUCAUAUUAAAGCUUAAUUUAAUAUUAAGAUAUAUUUGACACUAUUAGAUAAAAUUAAGUUAGAAAAAAAACAUAUAGAAAUAUAUUUCUAUAUUUGUCCAUAAAAUCAUACAAAAUAUAUCAUAACCGAAUCACCAAAUCAUUGCAAUAUGCGGUAUACAAAAACAAAUAGAUUAUUUUUCUAUCGUACUUUUAUACCGCACGUAACACAAUUUUUUCUUAAUUCCAAACAAAACCUAAAUACAUUUAACACCUUGUAAUGAAAAAAAUUUUGAAACCAUUUUCAAUUUUUAGUAUUAAAAGUAACAAAUAAAACAAACAUAUAAAAAUGAGUCUUCGAUUGUCGAAAAUAUCUAUCCCUUAAUUUAUAAUCGUGUGCACAAUAUUAAAUAUAAAAAUAUAAAAAUAAUUUUUUUUAACAUUUUAAACUUUAUCCGAUGAUAAAUAAAUAAGUACAGUUGUACACUAAAAUUUUAAACUAAAAAGUUAAACCGGUAAAAUAUAAUAUUAUUAUAUUUAAGAGAUAGCCUAACCUUUCGAGGGGAAUAAAAAAUAAAAAUAAAAAAAAUAAAAAAAAAAAAAAGCUCAACACUUAUGUUUUCUUACUUAACACGUCAUGUUCUCGAAAAUUAAACAAUACUUUACGUAGCAUACCAAAAGACUCGCAUCGCUUUCGAGUUUCAUAAUACUCAAAUAACAAAACUGUUUAUCCGAACACAAAUAUUUGAGAAAAAUUGCAGUGUGGGGAAAUUAAUAAUACCGAAGAAAAAUAACUUCGAAGAUUUAUUCAUCAGUUUGAUUAGACAGGAUAGAGAUUUAAAUCGGUCCAAAUUAAUGUGCCUCAUUAUUUCCUAAUAAAUACGAUUAAUCUUAAUUAACUAUCCAACUUUAAUAUGAAAAAUACAAAUCCAAGUAACAGCAGCUUCAGCUAAUAAGCCCUGGUAUACUUCCAUUACGUUGCACCUGCACUAUCAAUCCUCCAUUAAUAUCUUCUUUUUUUAAUAAAAACUGGAAAAAAAAAUUAACCCCAGUUAAUUUUAUUACAAGCUAUAUACACAUUACAACAUACACAGUUAAAAAGAGUAAAUAAAAGACCAAAAUACAAGUAUCUCAACCUAUUAUACAUCACAAUAUAUAACAUAAAAUUAAACAGCCUACGAUAUAAGCUGAGACUAGAAAUAAAAUAGAAUCUUGUGAAAACCUAAAAAUAUUCCCAUUAUUUUUUUUUCCAUACAGCAUUGGAAAACCUAUCAUUUCGAAAUGGCUAGUAAUCCUUCGCUAGUAUAUAAUUACAAGUAAACCAAGCCUAUAAACAUAAAAAACCAAAGAGAAACUUAAUUAGAAGCAAAACAAAGAGAACUACCAUACUAAAAGAAAAUGCUAAAUGGUAACAGGGAAAAAAGAUGCAAAUUAAUUGCAGGUAUCAACACAAUACACCAAAUAAAAAUUUUGCUUCGACAAAAAAAAAAAAACAAAGAAAAAAGAAAAAGAGGAGUUACACCAGUAAAAGGACAAACUUUUGGGAAGAGUACAGCCUAGCAGAUUUGCAACAAGACCACCACAAUUUGCGCAUGCAAAACAACAAUAGACGACAAACUUCUUGCAAAUGGCCAAUUACAACAACUUCUAGCAAAUGACCAGUUACAGAAGAAGAACAAAAUCAUCAACCCAAAAAUUUUCCAUGAUAUUAGCUGGAUAUAACAGAAGAGGAUGUUAAAUACUCUGGUUCCAAUGUGUCAAAUUAAAGAAGCAAAAUGCAAACCAGAUAAUGUAAAUCCACAUUCAAAAACUUUGGUAACACGGCAAUGAUCUAUACAUGAUAUACAGCUCAAGUCAAAAUCUAUUCUGCAGAUAAGAGUUUCUUCUUCCCACGGUACAUAGAGAAAGAAAAAGGGUGCUUUUUGACGCUACAUCUGCACUACAACAAAAAUGGUCUAUAGCGACACUUUUAAAUGUUCGUACAGGUCAAAAAAAGUGCUGCUAGCUAAAUUACCGACAAUUUUAAAAAGUGUUGCUAUAUUUAGGAUCACUAGGUAUAUAGUGACAGUUAAAGAGUGUCGCUAUAACCUAAAAGAAUGCUGCUAAUUUACCAACACUUAUUUAAGUAUUUAGUAACCGCCGAAACUCUAUCUUGUUGAUUGUGGUGACGAAGGAGGACGACAGGGAAGGAUUCUUUGUCUAGAAUUUCAGUGGAUUGAGUGAAGAGAGAAGGGGAGAUAGUAAUCGAUUUUUCUUUUUUUUUUCUGUUUGUAAUCGGCCCAAAUGGGCUGGAUGGGAUGAGUUGAGUAGAGUAAUCUUUUAUUUUUGGUUGGAUUGGACUUUAUAUUUAGGCAUUAGUAGAUGUUUUUUUAAAUUUUAGCAUAAAUAGGACACUUACAUAAAAGUGUCCCAAACAUGUGUCCCUAUAACCUAAUUCUGUUGUAGUGCUGGCCGAUUUGUACAUACCACUUAAUUAUUAUCAACUCAAACAAACAAAAUCAUAGCAUACCAAUAAUUAUUAGCAAUUCAAACAAACAAGAUCAUAGCAUUAAUUAAUAUCCUACUAGCUAUUAUUUGAUUGAGACUAUCUACGAGUUAAUGGAAUUUGACUUUCUUGAAGUCAAUAUGCAUUUGCAAUAAUUAUCAUCAUUCACAAAUCUCCAUUUUCUGCAAAAACUAUAGAGGAAAUUAAUGGUGUGAAAAGAUAAUCGUUGUUGAUCCCAUAACUAUUCUUUUACAGGAACAACACCUAGGAUACAACUCAUAAUAUAUGAGCAACAUAGCUUAUUUAUCCAGUAUUCUAUCACGACUAUCAAAUAUUAACAAAUAUGCUAAGUUUUUAUCCAAAAGGAAUUAAUAACUAGACUCGAUCAGCACGCACGUUGAUGUCGAUCUCAAUUAGCCAUAGGAGGUGAUUAGUCACAGAAGAAGGAAAGAAAAAAGGUAUAGCGACUCUGCGAAAUACUGUGCUUCUCGAGCAAAUUCAAACAAACCCAUACAAAAGCAGAAGUAAACUACGGAAAAUUAUCAGUUAUAUAGAGACCAACUACAAGAGAUAUGUUUUCACAAACAUGUAAAGACCGGUGAAUAAUUAGAGAGCCAAAUAGUGCUAAAAUAUUGUUCCUGUAAGAGUUACAAGACAGGCAGCUACCAAACAAGAACAUACAUCGAUCGAUCAUAUUCAAUAAAGAGACGACAAAAUAUAAAGGAAAUCAAAAAGGUUGAGAGGUAAACCAACCUGCCCACAUGCAUUGCCACAUGAUCGAUUGAUUUCCAUAGUCAAAGCCAUCAUUUAUGACCUUGCUUAGUUAGGGCAAUGAAAUUAAUAAGAACAAUGCAAAGGAAUUAACUAGGUGUAAAUAAACAAGGCAGGGUAUAAUUUCUCAUGAGAAGAAUAUAUUCCUAAUUGACUGAGAUAAUGAUGAAAAAUCUUCAUUUAACAUUUUGAUCAUAUAUACUGUUUUACCAAGAAAAAUGCGACUUGAUCACACUUUUACAAUUUAUAUAUGUAAUCUUACCUUUACUGUUUACUAAACAAGGGGGGAUUAUAAUUAUCGAAGUAAAAUGUCAAUAUUAGGCUUAUUGAAAAAAGCAUUUAGAGAAGCACUCCCCAGAAUUUUUUUUUUUUUAAGGCAGCUUAUAAAGAGAGUACUUACAAAAUGGUGACAAAAGAAUAUGAUCAGUAUUUCACAGGAUAUCCAACAUUCCCAUUACCGCCAGCAAAAGAUGGAAUGCAUGUUUUGCUAAAUGUGCAAAAAUUAAGAUCAAGUAAAAAGGCGGAUGCACUAGAAGAAGAUAAAAAAUCCAUCUCCAAAUUCAGCAAUAAGAGCCAAGCUUACAGUUUGGUUAUUACAUUAUUAUGAUCACCAGUAAGAAAAUCAACUUAGUAAAUGAAUAUAGCAAAAUUUCAAGAUAUAAAUGGUCAAAUAACGCGGCUCACUUAUAUCUAGUCAGGUUAACAACCAUACCAAAUAAGUUGCAGUUCACAUUGAAAGAACUAACAAAAAACAGUUGCAAGAUACAAUAGAAAAUAGUGAACAGUGAUUACCAACAACAACCAAAAAAAAAAGUUAAGAAUAAAAUAACAGCAUGUUAUAAGUUUUUUAAAUAGAUAAGAAGUCACCUGAAGUAAUAGGACAAAGAAAACUUUAAGUUAACUUUAGAUACAUGGCAUAAUUCGAGAACCUUGACUGAUUUAAAGCAUUCAAAUCUAGGAACUUGGAACUAUAAUAGCAAAACUCGAGAACUAAAUAAUUAAAGUGUAAACUGAUUCUCAUUGAAUUCCUACAACGCUAAAGCAAGGCAUUAGGGUUUCCCGAACUACUGGCAACAAAAUACCCUGAACUAAUAUAUAAAACAUUAGGGCUUCCAAGCACCACCCGCAAAAAACACUUAAUUAAAAUAAUUAAAGAGAAAGAGAGGUAGGGUCAUAUAUUAAUCUAUAUUUAUCUGAGCGUCUGAUGUAUAAAACGGAAAAAAAAAAUAAGGCGAAAAAAAUAAAGGAAAAAAAAAUCUGAUGCUAAAAUUAAGGAGUUGAAGGUUAAAUGCAUGCAAGUUUCAGAGUAAAAUGAAGACGCAAAUAUUUAACAGGAAAAAAAAAAAACCACAGUUAAUAUACAAAACUAUUAAGGAACGUACUAGGUCUUCAAAACUAUUUCUAUUGUUAUUAAGAUAUAGAAAGAUGGGAAGUAAUAAACUUUAAAUACUUGGGCAUAUAUCUGAAAAUACUUCUUUUAGAGUUAAAAAAAAAAAAAAACAAAAUCUAAUAAUAAAAAGGGAGUAAUUUCAUAAUAAAAUGCCCCAUACAUAUAAAAGAAAGAAAAAAUAUAUAUACGCGGAAAGAACUCGAGGAGCUUACAAGAUAUAAAAGCAGGUUAAACGCAAGGGAGGGGGAAAAAAAAUUAAUAAUAAUAACUACAAACUUUUAACAGCCAAAUAAUUUUCUAGCUCAUUGCUUUCAAAGAUAUGCUAAAAAGGAAAUAGCAGUAAUUACAAAAUGUUUACGCCUAAAAUAACCCAACUAUAAUAGGCACUACGCUGACACUGAAUAAUACUACAGAUACAUGGAUAUGAAUUUUUUUUUGAAAAAAAAUACCCUAAAGAUCGCAAAAUACAAAACUUAGAAAGCUAAAACAUUUGAGAUUCAUAGUAACUAAACAAUAAAUUCAGAGUAGAAGACCUAGAGGAACAAGGCUUCUAGAAAAUUCAAAGAGAGAGAGAGAGAGAUAGAGAGAGAACUUGGGUUUGGUAGAACAUGGGGCUAUAUGCAGUGAAGAAGAAGGGAGCUCCCUUCAGUCCAAGCAAGGAUGGCGUAGGAUCCAACUCAUCUCCCGCAUCAUUCACUCAUUUACCAAGCAAAGUGCACAUCUUUUUUGAUCACUUGGUAUGUGGAUGAAUGAGUCGGCAGCUAGUUCAAUCCCUCAACCGCCCUUGAGUGGGCUGAAGGAAGCUCUCUUUUCAUGUUUUGACGACAACAAACCCACCCUUAUAUAUAUAUAUAUAUACUUAAAACAAAGAACAAUAAAUUGCUACUGUGGCAACAACAUAUAGCUGCAAACACCAACCAGAAAAAAUGAUCAACAUAAGAGCAUGGUAAUGGAUGUUUUGGUGCUCAAAGAGAUGGGUGUAUAGUUGGGAGAGAUGUUUGAGAGAAGUAAAUUAAUUGAAGCCCGUUCUUACAACCUACAGUAAAACCCAUGAGCAGGUGAGAGAGGAGCUCAAAAUAAAGAAUUGUUUUAGUACCACUAAAUGCAACAUGUAGCAAUCAAAAGCCACGUGUAACCCCCCUCUCCAUGCUUUCCCAUAAAUAAAUAAAGAAUCCAUGUGAAAAUUAAAGGAGAAAAAAGAAAAACCGAGAUAGAUCAUAGAUAUAUCCAGCUAGUGUAGGAGAGGAAGUGAUAUAAUACCCUCAUCAGAAACAAAAGGAAGUGAGAAUGAGAAGCUCAAUGUUUGAAACAUGCGAAUUAAAGAGGAGGAGAGAUCAAGGAUUUGGUCGUGUUGCGUCGUAAUCGCUCUCACUCUCUCCACCGACUACAAACAGGGUUGAUUUUAAAAUAGAUAUGGAAAAAGGACGUUAAAUAGCGAAGCAGGCUAUAGAUGACAUCACAUCAUGCUGGAAAAAGAGAAAAGGGAAAAAUCGAAAAUGUCAUUUUCUCUCACAUGUUCACUUGUCUUCUUAAGUAGCAAAGAGAAGGCAAUUAUAUAUGUUAACUUAUUUGUUACUUAAGCAACGCCCAUUUGUGCAAAGGUUCUCUUGAUUUUGGACGUGUGUAUUGUGUGAAAAGAAAGAAUUAAAACGUCCCCAGCAAGUGUUAUAUGAGUUUCUUUUGAUUAUUCUUAAAACGCGAGGACUUCGAUUUUUGGUAUACUCACAUAUUUUUUAUAUACAAAUUAAUUUAGAAUAAUAACUAAUAUAUCGGUUGGUGAGUUUUUUAAAAUUUUAUUAUAGAUCAUUAUUCAGCUUGUAUUUUAUUUUGAUCAGAUACGGAAUAACAAUUUACUUAGAAAAUCACAAAAUGUUAGAAAAAAUUUUGUUUCUAAUUUUUUUAUAUAUUAAAUAUGUUAUAUUCGAAGACUAUGCAAAUUUUAUAAUUCACUCUUACCCUCUUUUAUACAAAUAUUCUAUAUAAGAUUAUUAUACAAAAGAUGACAUAAAUAUAUAUAGCAUUAUAGUUUUCUAAAAAUAAUAUAGAUUUUACAUUUUACUCGUCAAUAAUUAUUUUAUUUACACUCACCAUACUAAUAAUUGACUUUUUUUAAUUCCGUAUCAAGAAUCUAAUAAAAGAAUAUCUAUAUCAAAAGAUUGUGCGGUACAUAUUCCAAUUCUAAGCCUACAUAAAGAAUCGAAUUGAAUCCCUUAAUCAUCUAUUCUAAGGUAAAUUAAUGUUUGAUAUACAAUAAUUAAACAGAUCAUUUUUACAUUUAUUAUUUGUUACUAUAUUUAUAUUAUAUUAUAAAUAUAUAUAAUUUUUUUAGCAUUUUGUUUACUAUAAAGAUAAAAUUUAGGCUCCCUGAACUGACGAGGAUAGUAUGAUUAAAAGUUUGAUUAUUUUAUAUAUAUAUUAUUAAUUAAUAUGGAGUUUGAGUCUACACACGUGAAUCAAAAAAUUAAAAUUCCUUUUAAAUAUCAAAUUAAAAAUUAGAAAUAAGACAGGUGAGUAGAUAUUAGCCUUUCAAACAUUAGAAUGUAAGAUUUUAUACUUAAUUUUAAAUAACUAGGCUGGAAUACUAUUAAUAGCACAAAUUACUUGGUGCUAUUAAGUUUUCUGUCCUUAGAUUAAAAGAUUAUGUGGGAUUAGGAUGAUGUGGGCCCUCUAGGAUUGAGUGAGUAGUUAGUUGAAUAGUAUAAUCGAACGGAUGAAAAUGAUAAAAAAAAGUAAAUCUAACGGCAGAAAACUUUAUAGUACCAAAUACUUCAUACUAUCGAUAAUAUUCCAGCCGGACCCAAUAUUAAAUAUAUAAAUGGUAUUGCCAUUAAAAACAAAGUUUAGAUAAAUGAGUAGAUUCUAACCGUCUAAAUAUUAGAAUGUAAUUUUAUACUUAAUUUCCAAAUGUACAAAUAGUAUUGCUAAAAAAAAAUAUGAAGUAUGUAUUAAAGAAAAAAGCAAAAAUAACAUGAAAAUAAUGAGUAAAAUAAUAAUCAUAAUAAGAUUAAAAAAUUAGCAAAAAAAUAUUACUUAUAUAUAUUGCUAAACGAUUUAAAAAUUGAUUCGGAUCUAGUUAAAAGUUUGGAUUAAUUUCUUUAAUAAUCAUCUGAAAAUUCGUAACAUUAUAAAUAUUCUUUCAAAUUAUAAAAAUAUUAUUUGUAUUCUUAUAAAUAUAAGCCGUCUAGAGUUUAUGCGUUAUAUCUGAAGUUAAUUUGGACUUUGGAGAGAUAGUUGAGAUAUAUUAUAUGUAUAUUGAGGGUGAUAUAAAUGGCAUAUUUUUAAAUUUGAAAAGAUAUAAGUUAAUAAUAUUAAAUAUUUGGAAGGACCUUCCAAGUCUUGGAGAUGAAAUUUGAAAAGUGUGGAAAGAUAAGAUUCACACUUUAGGGUGCAUUUGAUACGUAUUAUGAAAGAUUAAUUACUAUAAAUAAAAAGAUAUCUGAGAAUUUUAUUUCUAUCUAUCCUAUAACUAAGAAUGUGACAUUUCUGUGUUUGGUUCGCACGAUCAUAUUAUUUAGUCAUAUCAUUUAAAAUUACAAACAAUAUACGAUCAAUUUAUUUAUUUUUUUAAUUAAUUUUAAAUAAUGGUACCAAAAAUUUCAACAUUCUUUUAGGAAAAAGGGAUAGAGAAUAUAGGUUAGAGAGAAAGAGCAUAAUUAAAGAAAUAGAAAGAGAAAUAGAGUCGAGGAAGUGAGAAAAUUGAGAUUUUAGAAAAAAAUAGAGAAUGGGAGCUUGGUUUAGUGAGAGAAAUAUAAGUUUAGAGAGGAUAUGAGAUUAGAGUGUAAAGAAAAAUAAUACCAAUUAACCGACGGAUAGAGAGAAGGAAAAAAAAAGGGAAAACUUCAAAACCCCCCCUGUGGUUUCACACUUUUUCAUUUUAGUACCCUGUGGUUUGAAGUGUAUCAAGUUAGUACCCUGUGGUUUCUCACUUAUCACUUUAGUACCCUGUGGUUUAAAAUGUAUCAAGCUAGUACCCUGUGGUUUUGCACUUUAUCACUUUAGUACCCUGUGGUUUCACACUUUAUCACUUUAGUACCUUGUGAUUUAAAAAACUAUAGGGUACUAACUUGAUACAAAAUUAAAACCACAGGGUACUAAAGUGAUAAAGUGCAAAACCACAGGGUACUAACUUGAUACACUUUAAACCAUAGGGUACUUAAGUGAUAAAGUGAGAAACCACGGGGUACUAACUUGAUACAUUUUAAACCAUAGGGUAUUAAAGUGAAAAAAAUUGAAACCACAAGGGGGGUUUUUGAAGUUUUUCCGAAAAAAAAUUAGACAUAUUAUGAUUACCCGAAUUUAUUAAUGUGAGGAUACUCACCCUCUUUCGAGAGAAUGAGAUUAGUAUUUUGGGAUGAAUCUCAUUCCUAAAUAAAUUUAAUAUUACUAAUUAGAUUACUUAAUACGUUUAGCCAAAUAUUAUUAUAUUUUUUAUUUUUAUUAAAUUAUUAAAAAAUUUAAAAAAAUAGCGUGAACAGCACUCUUAAAUCAUUUCUUUUUCUUUCUUAUUUUUGUUUUUUCACUUUUUGCACGUAGAGAGGUAGAUUCAUUCACACUCCAAAUUUCCCCGUGAUGGAGUACACGCAAAUUAAGUUACUAGUCCGAAACGUUCCCAUCCAAGGGUCCAAUCAAAUCAUCAUCAGAUAUAGAGUCCAACAUGUAACACAAAUACGAAUAAACGAACGCGUAUACCGGGGCCUUGUUUUCGUGUGUAGCCAAACGAGCCUACAUGCAAAAUAGCCACGCAACUGCAUUCGAUUCGAAUGUAAAUAAAAAUUAUUUAUUUUAAAAAUAAAUAUAAGUUGAAGUAUAAGUAUAAAUUAAAUUAAAUUUUUAUUUAAAUAAAAAUUAAAUUAUUUAAAAAAUAAAAUGAAUAGUAUUUGAAUGAUUAGAUUGAAAUAAGAGGAUUAAAAGUUAUAAAUUUAAAUUAAAAAUAAAUUAUCUAAUUAAUUAAUGUAACAAUAUUAAUUAAAAAUAAUUUAAUAAAUUAAUAAAUUUGUUAGCCACGAAUGAAUAUUAUAAUAAUUAAUAAUUUAAUAUUUAAUAAAUAUAAAUAUUAGUUAAUUAUAAAAAUAACUUAACUUUUUAAUUAGUUAGUAAAUUAUUUUAUUUAAAUAAUUAGUUAAAAAUUUAAUAGAUUAAUUAAAAUGUUAAUAGUUAAUCAAUAUAAUCAUUGGUUAUUGAAUAAAUUGAUUAAAAUAUCAAUCUAUAAUUAGUUUAUUAAUGAUAAAUAACAAAUAAUUAAUUAUUUUACUUUUUAAGCAAUAAAUAAUAACUUACAUAUAUUAAUUAAAUUAAUUAAUAAUUAAUAUUGUAAUUAAAAUUAAGUUAAAUUUUAAUUAAUCUUGUUCCUAUUUUGAAACAAGCUUGUUUCAGAGGAAGGGAGCCAGGAGCCAGAGGGUAGGGUAGAACAACUCAACAAGCUUGUUUCGAAGGAGGAGAGUCAGGGGGUUGUGUCAGAUUCACUACAAUAAAAUAUGUUUUAGAUGACUCUCUAUUUUAGCUUCUCUAAUAUUUGGUACGUGUCUACAUUAUAAUUAAAUGUCGACAAUAAAUAUAUUUUUAUCAGAUAAAAAUUUUUCGACGCUUUACUAAAGUGUCGGUAUAUUUAUCCCGACAUGCAUGUUUACUUAAUGAUUAUUUACCCGAUAUUUUUAUAAGAGUCAAAAUUAUUCUUACUAAUAUUUUAAAUCAUCGUUAAUUAUUAUUCAAAAUAUCUUUAAAUAAAAAAACUUAUUAUAGUAGUUAUACCAAUUUAUUCUAAAUAUGGGAAAAUUACUAUCGUCGUGUAUUAAAAAUAUCGUUUGAGAAAAAAAAAAAACAAAAAAACUUAUUCUUUUCUUUGUUACUAAGCCAAACGCUACUACGGGAGAAAUUCUACACUGUUAUGCACACUUGCACCACAUUAUUAAUAAUAAACUAAUCUUUUUUUUUUUCAAAUAAAAGUAUAAUAAAAACAUCUUUUUAUAAUUAUAAUAAAAUAUAUAUUUCUAAAAAAAAUAUUUAAUUAAUUUGUUAUGCGAUGUCACCAAUAUAUCCGUUACAUUGAAUUUUUCCUACUACGGGGUUGUGCAAUUUUUAAUUUUUUUGUGGAAUCAACAAAAAUAUUGUACGUAUGGUUUGCUCGCGUCCAUAGGGAAAGGACGAGGGCCGAGGGGGGUGUUGUCGAUCGCCGCUGCUAUGCCAUCAAAUCAAGAUCAAAUCAAAUCUUUUUUUUCUUUUUUUUUAUUAUUAUUAUCAUUUUUUUAUUGUUGAGAUUCUCUUCACCCACCUGCAGGCCGUCUUUUCAAACCCUAAAGCCUCUCUCUCUCUCUCUCUCUCUCUUUUUCUUUCUCUUUAGUAGUUGUCACCACCAUUAUUUACAACAAUUGCAAUGCUACUUCUCUCUCUCUCUCUCUACAUGUCCAAUCAAUUAAGGGGAAAAGGAAAAGAAAACUAGUGAAUGGGACUUUUCCAACCGGGCCAACAACAGCUUUGUGUUUGGUGUUUGAGGACGAAAGGGUCAUGAUCCAUCACGCCAUGAGUGCAAGGCGAGAGAUAGGAGAAGCCCUAAUCCAUGGCAUGAACCCUGGUCUGUAGACCAACUUGUCUACGUACUAAUAAAAGCCUUAUAAAUGUAAAAGAUGCGCAUAUUUGUUAAAUAUAAAAUUAUAUAAAUACUAUUUUAUAACAGUUUAAGCUUUUAAAAUAUAACUAUUAUUUCACUUGGUAUUAGAGCGGGGGUCCUGAGUUCAAGUCAUGUCAGGCACCAACAUAAUUAAUUUUCUUCUAUUUAAUUCAAGUCCACGUCACAAACUUUACAAAAAAUCUCGAGCCCUUGCAACGGUUGUUUCACCAUAUUUAUAAUACAAUAUGUAGAAAUUUGAUGGUCAAAAUUACAUUAAAAACAGCAAAUAAAAUGGCUUUGCCUUUUAGUAAACUAGAUAUUAAAAAAGUGGUUUCUUUUAUAUAUACACAAAAAUAAUUUACACACGAGUAUAUAUACUAAACAUAAAUUAUAAUUAUUUAUAGUAUUAAAAAGGUCUCAAAGUGUGUAUAGAUGACUCGGCGUAAUCGAUUCAUGUAUUAACUUAGUUCUCGUAUGUUUUUCUAUUGAAAAUUAUAAUUUUUUAAUAUUUUUUUGUAUGUGGUUAAUAGUGUUGAUUUCUACAACAAGAAAAUAUAUGGACGACAGAUUUUUUUAAAAAAGCUAAGACUAUCAUAUGUAAAUUAUCUAGUGGUUAUUAGUUAUUAACAUAUUAAGCAUGAGUUUUGUAACUAUUUAUAAUUAAGCUGUUAAAAUUAAUAAUAGUUAUUAUAUUUUACUCUAGUUGAUAAGAUUAGAAAUUUUGGAGGCCCCGGUCUACAGGAGGAAUUCUAUACUGUCACACUUGCACCACGUCAUCAAAAACAAGCCAAUCACAUUCCUUCUUUUCAAAUAAAAAUACAAUAAAAAUACUUUUUUACAAUCAUGAUGGGACAUAUAUUUUUAAAAAAAUUAAUUUGAUUGGUUUAUUACGCCACGUCACUAAUAUACUCGUUGGAUUCUAGAAUUUUUCGGUCUACAGACCCUGGUCUAUGGUCUAUGCAGAACAUUUUAUGCUCCCACGUACUGUGUCCUCCACGUGGUUUGUGAAUCCGAGCUCGAUUUAGGGCUUUGUUUAGUGUCAACGCGCUCAAACAGAGGAUGGCUAAUGAGUUGAUUGGUUCCCUUGGUUGGUCGAACGUAGGGUUCUUUGGACAUGCUCCCCACGUGUAGUGUUGGUUUUAUUGCAAAUUGAGUGGUUUUAUUAUAAUAAUAAUAGUAAUAUAAAUGGCUUUUUAGUUUAUUAUAUAUAUAUAUUAAUAUAUUAAAUUAUAAUAAAUAAAUAAAUAUAAUAAAACUGCAGUUGGAAGUGACGUGGAGCCACCACGUACACUUAGAUUUGUGGGAUUUUUUUUUUCUUUUUUGGAUAAAUUACCCUAAUAAUAACUCUCAACCUUUUUAAAAUUUUUAAUUGAUUCUAUAUAUAUAUAUAUAUUUUUUGUCAACUCAGUCUUUAAUCUGUAAUUUUUUUUUUACUCUUCAGUUAUAAUUAAUACAAGUCGACUGGGGAAUGCUGACGCGGUACUGAAUUAAUUAUAACAUAAUUAAUUUUUUGAAUUAAUAGCACAAUUUAAGAAAUUAUAAUUUUUUGUCAAUUUAAGAAAUUAUAAUUUUUUAUACCUAAAAAAUGAUUAACAAAUUCAAUGGUUCUGUUAAUUUAUAAUUUAACAUUUAAUUGAUCUCAUUUUAUUUAGUAAAAAAUAAUUAAAUUUUUCACAUUUAAUAAAAUCAUCCACAAAUUUUAGCUAAAAUCUCUUUUUUAUUUCUAUCAUUUUAAAUCCAAAAAUAUAAAAGGUAAAAAUGUCUCAAUUAAAAAAAAACAACGUUAAUUGUACAUCAAAAAUGAAAUAUAAAUUUUACACCGUCUUAUCUAAGGAAAAAUUCUAGAAUGCAACGGGUAUAUUAGUGACGUGGCGUAACAAACCAAUCAAAUUAAUCCUUUUAAGAAUAUAUAUCCCAUCAUGAUUGUAAAAAAGUAUUUUUAUUGUAUUUUUGUUUGAAAAGAAGGAAUGUGAUUGGCUUGUUAUUGAUGACGUGGUGCAAGUGUGACAAUGUAGAAUUUCUCCUUAUCUAAGACUCUAUAU